UCCUAAGGAGAGGGAGUGAGCUCCUGGCGCAGCUUCUUGCUUUCGCCUGGAUCACUUAUUUUGCCAUUUCUCUCCACCGAUAGCUAGUCUUGUGCCAAUGAGUUUCGUUUGCAACCGCGGGAAGGCGGAAACGGAGACGGAGGUUAGAAUGACGCCGCUCCUUUCCUGCCAAUUCUUUUUCCCUAAACCUGCAAGUUUCUGUUGCGAUGCCAUGUCGCGAACCAAACAGAGGAGACCUGCCUGCAUGUGAGAUCUUCUAUAAUUCAGAAUAAGGAGGGUGGUAUAUAUGAUCACAUAAUCGAAACAUUUAUGAUUUCUUCUGUUUCGCGAUCCACAUACUAUAUAUGUAUGCAAUACAUGUUCAGUUUUUCUAAACUGAAAAUGGCUCCUCCACCAUGAGCAGCUACCAUGGAAUGUGGGUAAUGUAAAUCAAAGAAUCCUUUUUUUUAACCUGUUUUUUUUUUGAACCUGGCUAAUCAAUCAAAAGAAUGUGGAGCUAGGUUUGGAAUUGUAACCCUCUCCUCUCCUACAGUAUGCUAAACUUGUAGUACUACUUGAAUGAGCUUCAUCCUUUGCCUGCUUACAGGCGCUGUUGCUUGCUCCUUAAUUCAGACAGUGCUGUCGAAGUCACUCGUGUACUCCCGGAGCGUCUGCAAGAGCGGAGUCGCCCUGCCCUUCUGGUGCGUCUGCUCGGAACACUUGAGCAGCAUCUGCAGCACGACCUUCAUGGUCGGCCGCGACGACGGCGGGGACGCUGUCGUGCACAUCAGGCCUAGCCUGAACACGAAUUCGAUCUCCUCCGAGAACCCCGCGUUUCUGAUGCGACUAUCUGUGGCUCCGUCGAUGCUCCCUCCUGACUCGUCCAGGCGCCGCACCCAUUCCGCCAGGGACCCGUCCUCACCGCCGUCGCUGGCCGCCCGGCCGGUGGUGAGCUCCAGGAGCACCACGCCGAAGCUGUACACGUCCACCUUCUCCGUCACACUCGUCGUGUUAGCGCACUCUGCACACCAGCAUGUGAAGGUGUGAAAAUUCAGCUACUGACGAGUGACGACCAGGGAUGUUUUGGUUCCUUACCCGGAGCCAUGUAGCCGGACGACCUGGCAACGGCGGACAUGGUGUCGGGCGUGCCGGCCUGCACCAGCAUCCUGGCCAGCCCGAAGUCCGCGACCUUGGUUCGGAACUCGGAGUCCAGCAAGAUGUUGCUGGUCUUGACGUUCCGGUGAACGAUGGGCGGGGAGCACUCGUGGUGCAUGUAGCAGAGCCCCUGCGCGGCGUCGACGGCGACUCUGAUCCUCGUGGGCCAGUCCAAACCACCCUCGUUGGACGACGCGGAGUGCCCGGCGCCGUUGGGGAGAGCGUGCCUGUGGAGCCACCCGUCGAGGCUGCCGUUGUCCAUGUAGUCGUACACGAGGAGCUUGUCGGCGGAGUCGGCGUGGGAGAGGCAGCACAGGAGCCUGACGAUGUUCUUGUGCCGGACGCCGCCGAGGAUGCUGGCCUCCGACUCGAACUCGCGCUCCAGCCUCUCUUCCACCUUCCGGGCGCUCCGUAUUUUUUUCACGGCAACGGCGCUGUCCUUGCCGAUGUACCGGUUAGUGUACGCGGGUAACGCGGCGCGGUACACGCGCCCCGACCCGCCGCUGCCGAUGAGAUUCUCUUCGGUAAUCGCCCGGAGUAUGUCUGCCUCCCCGAACCCCAGAUUGGUCUGGAAAGACGUCAUCUUCCAGCCACCGUCCUGUGCGGCGCGCUUCCUUUUCCUGAUGUCGCGGACGAUGAAGAAGGCCAAGGCCACGAUGAGGACAACGAGCGUGCCGCCAAUGAACAGGAGGCCAGUGCGGAGCGCCGGCCACAUGCCCCCGGAGGAGGAGGCGGCUUGUGAUCCCGCGGCACAGAUGCGCACGCCUGUGAGGUAGCCUGGCCCCAGAUCGGCAUGGCAGAGGCCGGGGUUGUCGAGGAAGCUCCGGUCGUAAGCGGCGGUGGCGAGCCCUGCCGGUACCUGGCCUUGGAGCUGGUUGGAUGACAGGUUGAGCGAGCUGAGCUGUAGCCCGGCAAGCGGCGGCGGUAUGUCGCCGGAUAGCUUGUUUGACGACAGGUCAAGUGCGUCGAGCACCCGCAUGGCGCCCAAUUCAGCCGGUAUCUCGCCGGCCAGCUGAUUCCUGCUCAGGUCCAGCUGCGUCAGGUAGCUGAGCUUGGCUACGCUCCUUGGGAUCUCGCCAGAGAGCUGGUUGCCGGACAAGUUCAUUGCCUGCAGCAGCGGCAUGCCGUUGCCGAUGUCCGCGGGGAGCUCGCCGUGGAGGUAGGCAAGUGACAAAUCGAGGUGCCGGAGCGAAGCGCAUCGGUACAGGCUGGUCGGAAAGGCGCUGGUGAUGUCGUUGUUGGAGAUGUUGAGGCUCGUGAGGCGGGAGAGGCCGCCGAUGGCGUCGGGGAACGGGCCGGCGACGCCGGUGUUGGCGAGGGAGAGGCUGGUGACGCGCCCGGAGGACGCGUCGCAGGUCACGUAGGGCCAGGUGCAGUGGUCGCUCGAGCCGUUCCAUGCCGCGAGCACGGGCGGGUCGCCCCACGCGCGCUUGAUCUGCAUCAGCGAAUGCCUCUCGUCGGCGGCCUGGGCGGCCGCGGGGUGCAGGAUGCAGCAGGGUAGCACGAGCAGUAGGAGGAGGGACGCGCGACAUGUCAAGGCCGCCAUGGCAAGGCAGUAGUAGGAGGCGGGUUGUUUUUUUUGUUUUUGUUUCGACAAACGUGCCUUUUAUAUUGUUUUAGAUGUACAGUAUUUAUUAAGAAAGCCCGAGGCUCCCACCAACCGUUGCGUCCGAUUAUCGUCGAUAAAUCGGUCACCAACCGUCGUGCAGGCGGACGCGUCUGCGGCCCGUCCGCGUCCGUCGGCGGGAAGUCUGCACCAGUUUAGCUGCUUUGCCUAGUGCGGCGUACAGUACCAGUUUAGCUGCUUUGCCUAGUCAGCUUUCACCGUCCAUCUGCGAGCUAGCAUGAACAUACUACAUCAUUGCUAGUUUUGUGUCAGUUUCACAAUCAGAUUUCAGUCCUGAACAUACAUCAGUGCUAGAUUGAACAUCAGAAUCAGGUUUCAGAAUCAGUCCUGAACAUACGUAUCAGAUUCAGGUUUCACAUUCAGUUUGCAAACUAGCUGCUUUUUCCGUGUGCAUACUCUUUUUUUUUUUAGCUUAGCACGCCGAUAUACUUGAGAAUACAGAAAGACUAAGAUCAACCCGGCAGCUCGCAGUCGAUUCAACUGAGCGAGCGGAAAGGGCAGGGCCAGGAGGUGCUCCUUCGGGACCAAGGAGGAGAACGCGGCGCUUCGCUUCGUUACGACUUAUGACGUAGCAGGCCUCGCAGGUCAUGUCCGCCAAGUCUGCUGCGUUUCUGCGGUCUGUCCGUGAAGCCGUUUACCUGAUUUAGACGGCUCGGACCAAGCGGGAACGAUGACUUCGGGGUGAUGGCAGUGACAUGGCUCGGCUCGUGGUCAGUGGUUUUCUUCACAUGGAUGAUGAUUCAAGUAGCGGACUGGCCGACAAAAGAUCAAUUCGUUCGAACAUCUCCAGGAGGAGGACUCACGCGUGGAGUCAGGAUUUGAACAAAGGGAGGCGAGUCACGACAAAAAGAAAAUAACAUGACAAAUCUGUACUUCCUAUAUAGUGUACCAAUAGCAAGUCAUAUGGACGGUUGGAUUUUUCCAAUCUGACGGCUCAAAUUUAAUGGCCUAUGAUACAGUACUACGUGGCUGCAUAUAGACCAUUGAAUAUGUCUGAAACCCACAUUGCAUGGAUUGGCUGUGCACUCAUUCCCUGUGCUGCGUGCGCGCCGUCUCGGAUGAAGUUUGUAGGAUGCACGUGAUCCUCCCAUCACUAUCCAGAAAUUUGUAGGAGCUACUCCCUCUGUACCACAAUACUUGUCGUUGUGCCCCAACGACAAGUAUUGUGGUACAGAGGGAGUAGAAUGCAUGCGGUAGUAGCUGGUUAGAUUUGUAAUACGUACAAUACUAUAGCGACAAGCAGGCUAUCAUGAUGAGAGAGAGAAAGAGAAGGCAUGCAGUAGAGCAGCGAGAAUAUCAGGUGAUACCGCCACUUAUAUGCUUCCAUGAUACCAAUUCAAAAGAAAAAUUAUACAAUUCAAAAAAUUCUGAAAGAAAUCAUGGAUGUUCGCAACAUAUGUGUCUACAAACCCUAAAAAAUCAGAUCCAAAUUCAAAUUGUACAACGAGAAACAAAAAAGAAAAAUUCAGCAUGAAUAGUGUCAAUAAAGACAAAACAUAAAUAGUGUGAAAACUACACUAUUCACAACAGAUUUGUCUUUUUUGUUUCUCAAUGUAUAUAUUGAAUCUGGAUCUGAAUUUUUUAGGGUUUGUAGACACAUAUGUUGAGAACAUUCAUGAUUCUUUUGGGAUUUUUUGAAACCUUUAAAUUUGAAUAUUUUUUGAAUUGGUAUCAUGAGAGCAUAUAAGUGUUGGUAUCAUGGGGCAUAGUCACAUAAACUGGAAAACGAUUUUCUACCGUGGAAGCAAUUUAACGGAUUAAAGAAUGACAAAAAAACAAUGUAAGAUGUGUCACAACUAAUAUUUUUUUACUUUCUGAAAUAAUUCAUUUUACAAAUGUUAUUACCCUUGUUUUUCUUUGAUUUUAUCAAUCAAGUCUAAUUUUUUUAUCAACCAAAGAAACAUAAUAAAUGUUUGAAUAAUUAUUUUAUUCGUAAUGAUGAAUAACUUGCAACAUAGUACUCUUCCGAGCUAUUGAAUUCUUUAUAUAUUUAUAAUUUUAAUCAUUUAGAUAAGGGGAAACAUGCCAUGCAUCGUCAUGAUGCACAUAACCAAAUAUGAAAAGACCACAACCGGUCAGAAAAAAAGAUUUCAUGACUUGACCACCUUUAUAAUUAAUACCUGAUUAUUUGAAGAGUUGCAUGACUGUAUCCAUGGUAGUUCAAAUCAUGAUACUUAAUAUUACAUACACAUAUGUGUGUUUAUAACUAUCUCUACACAUGGCAAAUCAAACUGUGGUUGGAUGAUUAGGAGGACAGUGGUAUCUCAGCCCACCGGGGUGACACUCGUACUCGCAUUUUUCUGAAUUUAUUCCAGUCCUUCUGGCAAUAUGUGUUCAGUGGAAGGAGACGUUCCCGUCGACUACGAAGGCAUCUGUCGUGACUUCAUCAAUCUCAAGAUGAUGUUUCGGUUCAGUCUAUUGGAGGUACUCAUAGGGUUAGCAUGUGCGUGCGUGUGUUCAUAGAGGUGAUGAAUGUACGUGUGUGUAUAUAUGAGUGUCUGCGUGCACUGAUUUAAGAAAAUAUCUCUACAUGUGCAUGGCACGUGUGAUUUACUAGUAUAUUGAAUGUCUCUAAUAAAUUAUACGGUCAGUGGGACAUUUUUUUCUUUUUACAUUUGUACUACUUGAAAUUUGGUGCGCGUAUAAUUGGUUCAAACGAACAUACAAUUUUCCACUUCAUGACUACACAAACACAAACACAAUUGACAAAAAAAUAAAUGUAAAUGAUAUAAUCAAUGCACAAUCCCUAAUUUGCAGUACCGAUCUAACUAAUUCAUCUAAAUCAAAUCAAGAAACUGUUGCAUCCUAAUCUCGAAUUUUGCAUCUGUAACAUAGUACUCCUUGCGCGUAGUACAAAACAAUGGGGAGACUGACCGUAGGAUUUUCUUGCGCGUCGGUAGACAUGGUCGUCGGGCGCCACAUGACACCUUCGCCCGUUGCCGCUGGUCCGGAUUGGUUGUGCAGUGCCGCCGCCGGCAACACUUCGCCCAACUAGCCCUAGACGCGCGCACGUAGCGAGUAAUGCGGCAGCGCCGAAAGAGUAAAUAGAUCUUUUUGAGAAUCUAAAACAGUUAAUAGAUGAGAGCCUGAAGUCGGCGGGCGCGGGGGCUGGCCCCCACUUGUCCCCCCUUGGGCUCCGCCACUGUUGGAGGGGGUGCAACACGCAACAUGAGGGCAUGAACUAUGGAGGCAUCAUCAUGCCACUGCCUCAACAUUUCACAUAGAUAAAAAUAACUAAAGCCAUGGUUUAGUUUUACCUUCAUCCAUUGGUAGCAGUAGUAUUGUUCCUCGAUUCAACAACUCUUCCUUUUAUACGAUACAAUAGUGUGGUUCUGUUGGUUGUUAUCCUAUCCUUCCUCAUUGGUUGCCUCAUCACCUUUGUUAGGGUUGAUUCAAGGCAGUGCAUGAAGGAAAUAUGCCCUAGAGGCAAUAAUAAAGUUAUUAUUUAUUUCCUUAUAUCAUGAUAAAUGUUUAUUAUUCAUGCUAGAAUUGUAUUAACCGGAAACAUAAUACAUGUGUGAAUACAUAGACAAACAUAGUGUCACUAGUAUGCCUCUACUUGACUAGCUCGUUGAUCAAAUAUGGUUGUGUUUCCUAACCAUAGACAUGAGUUGUCAUUUGAUUAACGGGAUCACAUCAUUAGGAGAAUGAUGUGAUUGACUUGACCCAUUCCGUUAGCUUAGCACUUGAUCGUUUAGUAUGUUGCUAUUGCUUUCUUCAUGACUUAUACAUGUUCCUACAACUAUGAGAUUAUGCAACUCCCAUUUACCGGAGGAACACUUUGUGUGCUACCAAAUGUCACAACGCAACUGAGUGAUUAUAAAGGAUCUCUACAGGUGUCUCCGAAGGUACAUAUUGAGUUGGCGUAUUUCGAGAUUAGGAUUUGUCACUCCGAUUGUCGGAGAGGUAUCUCUGGGCCCUCUCGGUAAUGCACGUCACUAUAAGCCUUGCAAGAAAUGUAACUAAUGAGUUAGUUACGGGAUGAUGCAUUACGUAACGAGUAAAGAGACUUACCGGUAACGAGAUUGAACUAGGUAUUGGGAUAUCGACGAUCAAAUCUCGGGCAAGUAACAUACUGAGAAAGGGAACAACGUAUGUUGUUAUGCGGUUUGACCGAUAAAAAUCUUCGUAGAAUAUGUGGGAGCCAAUAUGAGCAUCCAAGUUCCGCUAUUGGUUAUUGACCGGAGACGUGUCUUGGUCAUGUCUACAUAGUUCUCGAACCCGUAGGGUCCGCAUGCUUAAAGUUAGAUGACGGUUAUAUUAUGAGUUUAUAGGUUUUGAUGUACCGAAGAUAGUUCAGAGUCCCGGAUGUGAUCACGUACAUGACGAGGAGUCUCGAAAUGGUCGAGACAUGAAGAUUGAUAUAUUGGACGACUAUAUUCGGACACCGGAAUAGUUUCGGGGUUUAUCGGACGUAUACCGGAGUACCGGGGGGGUUACCGGAACCCCCCGGGGGGGUUAAUGGGCCUCAUGGGCCCAAAGUGGAGCAGAGGAGGGGCGGCCAUGGCAGGCCGCACGUCCCCUCCCCCUCUAGUCCGAAUAGGACAAGGAGGGGGGCGGCGCCCCCCUUUCCUUCCUCUCCUCUCUCCCCUUCCUUCCCCCUCUCCUACUUGGACAAGGAAAGGAGGGAGUCCUACUCUCGGUGGGAGUAGGACUCCUCCUUGGCGUGCCUCCUCCUGGCCGGCCGCCCCCUCCCCCUUGCUCCUUUAUAUACGGGGGCAGGGGCACCUCUAGACACAAUAAUUGAUCCUUGAGAUCUAUUAGCCGUGUGCGGCGCCCCCCUCCACUAUAUUCCACCUCGAUAAUAUCGUAGCGGUGCUUAGGCGAAGCCCUGCAUCGGUAGAGCAUCAUCAUAGUUACCACGCCGUCGUGCUGACGGAACUCUCCCUCGAAGCUCGGCUGGAUCGGAGUUCGAGGGACGCCAUCGAGCUGAACGUGUGCUAAACUCGGAGGUGCCGUGCGUUCAGUACUUGAUCGGUCGGAUCGUGAAGACGUACGAUUACAUCAACCGCGUUGUGCUAACGCUUCCGCUUUUGGUCUAUGAGGGUACGUGGACAACACACUUCUCUCUCAUUGCUAUGCAUCACCAUGAUCUUGCGUGUGCGUAGGAUUUUUUUUGAAAUUACUACAUUCCCCAUCAGUGGCAUCCGAGCCUGGUUUUAUGCGUAGAUGUUAUAUGCACGAGUAGAACACAAGUGAGUUGUGGGCAAUGCAAGUCAUACUGCUUACCAGCAUGUCAUACUUUGGUUCGGCGGUAUUGUUGGAUGAAGCGGCCCGGACCGACAUUACGCGUACGCUUACGCGAGACUGGUUCUACCGACGUGCUUUGCACAUAGGUGGCUGGCGGGUGUCAGUUUCUCCAACUUUACUUGAAUCGAGUGUGGCUACGCCCGGUCCUUGAGAAGGUUAAAACAACACUAACUUGACGAACUAUCGUUGUGGUUUUGAUGUGUAGGUAAGAAUGGUUCUUGCUCAGCCCGUAGCAGCCACGUAAAACUUGCAACAACAAAGUAGAGGACGUCUAACUUGUUUUUGCAGGGCAUGUUGUGAUGUGAUAUGGUCAAGACGUGAUGCUAUAUUUUAUUGUACGAGAUGAUCAUGUUUUGUAACCGAGUUAUCGGCAACUGGCAGGAGCCAUAUGGUUGUCAUUUUAUUGUAUGCAAUGCAAUCGCCAUGUAAUUGCUUUACUUUAUCACUAAGCGGUAGCGAUAGUCAUAGAAGCAAUAGGUGGAGAAACGACAACGAUGCUACGAUGGAGAUCAAGGUGUCGCGCCGGUGACGAUGGUGAUCAUGAUGGUGCUUCGGAGAUGGAGAUCACAAGCACAAGAUGAUGAUGGCCAUAUCAUAUCACUUAUAUUGAUUGCAUGUGAUGUUUAUCCUUUAUGCAUCUUAUUUUGCUUUGAUUGAUGGUAGCAUUAUAAGAUGAUCUCUCACUAAAUUUCAAGGUAUAAGUGUUCUCCCUGAGUAUGCACCGUUGCGAAAGUUCUUCGUGCUGAGACACCACGUGAUGAUCGGGUGUGAUAGGCUCUACGUUCAAAUACAACGGGUGCAAAACAGUUGCACACGCGGAAUACUCAGGUUAAACUUGACGAGCGUAGCAUAUACAUAUAUGGCCUGGGAACACUGAGACUGAAAGGUCGAGCGUGAAUCAUAUAGUAGAUAUGAUCAACAUAAUGAUGUUCACCAUUGAAAACUACUCCAUCUCACGUGAUGAUCGGACAUGGUUUAGUUGAUUUGGAUCACGUGAUCACUUAGAUGAUUAGAGGGAUGUCUAUCUAAGUGGGAGUUCUUAGUAAUAUGAUUAAUUGAACUUAAAUUUACCAUGAACUUAGUACCUGAUAGUAUUUUGCUUGUCUAUGUUUGUUGUAGAUAGAUGGCUCGUGCUGUUGUUCCGUUGAAUUUUAAUGCGUUCCUUGAGAAAGCUAAGUUGAAAGAUGAUGGUAGCAAUUACAUGGACUGGGUCCGUAACUUGAGGAUUAUCCUCAUUGCUACACAGAAGAAUUACGUCCUGGAAGCACCGCUGGGUGCCAGGCCUGCUGCAGAUGCAACUAACGACCUUAAGAACGUCUGGCAGAGCAAAGCUGAUGACUACUCGAUAGUUCACUGUGCCAUGCUUUACGGCUUAGAACCGGGACUUCAACGACGUUUUGAACGUCAUGGAGCAUAUGAGAUGUUCCAGGAGUUGAAGUUAAUAUUUCAAGCAAAUGCCCGAAUUGAGAGAUAUGAAGUCUCCAAUAAGUUCUAUAGCUGCAAGAUGGAAGAGAAUAGUUCUGUCAGUGAACAUAUACUCAAAAUGUCUGGGUAUAAUAAUCACUUGAUUCAACUGGGAGUUAAUCUUCCUGAUGAUAGUGUCAUUGACAGAAUUCUUCAAUCACUGCCACCAAGCUACAAGAGCUUCGUGAUGAACUAUAAUAUGCAAGGGAUGAACAAGACUAUUCCCGAGCUCUUCGCAAUGCUAAAAGCUGCGGAGGUAGAAAUAAAAAAGGAGCAUCAAGUGUUGAUGGUCAACAAGACCACCAGUUUCAAGAAAAAGGGUAAAGGGAAGAAGAAGGGGAACUUCAAAAAGAACGGCAAACAAGUUGUUGCUCAAGAGAAGAAACCCAAGUCUGGACCUAAGCCUGAGACUGAGUGCUUCUACUGCAAGCAGACUGGUCACUAGAAGUGGAACUGCCCCAAGUAUUUGGCAGAUAAGAAGGAUGGCAAGGUGAACAAAGGUAUAUGUGAUAUACAUGUUAUUGAUGUGUACCUUACUAAUGCUCGCAGUAGUACCUGGGUAUUUGAUACUGGUUCUGUUGCUAAUAUUUGCAACUCGAAAUAGGGACUACAUAUUAAGCGAAGAUUGGCUAAGGACGAGGUGACGAUGCGCGUGGGAAAUGGUUCCAAAGUUGAUGUGAUCGUAGUCGGCACGCUACCUCUACAUCUACCUUUGGGAUUAGUUUUAGACCUGAAUAAUUGUUAUUUGGUGCCAGCGUUAAGCAUGAACAUUAUAUCUGGAUCUUGUUUGAUGCGAGACGGUUAUUCAUUUAAAUCAGAGAAUAAUGGUUGUUCUAUUUAUAUGAGUAAUAUCUUUUAUGGUCAUGCACACUUGAAGAGUGGUCUAUUUUUAUUGAAUCUCGAUAGUAGUGAUACACACGUUCAUAAUGUUGAAGCCAAAAGAUGCAGAGUUGAUAAUGAUAGUGCAACUUAUUUGUGGCACCGCCGUUUGGGUCAUAUUGGUGUAAAGCGCAUGAAGAAACCCCAUACUGAUGGACUUUUGGAAUCACUUGAUUAUGAAUCACUUGGUACUUGCGAACCAUGCCUCAUGGGCAAGAUGACUAAAACGCCGUUCUCCGGAACUAUAGAGCGAGCAACAGAUUUGUUUUGGAAAUCAUACAUACUGAUGUAUGUGGUCCAAUGAACAUUGAGGCUCGCGGUGGGUAUCGUUAUUUUCUCACCUUCACAGAUGAUUUAAACAGAUAUGGGUAUAUCUACUUAAUGAAACAUAAGUCUGAAACAUUUGAAAAAUUCAAAGAAUUUCAGAAUGAAGUGGAAAAUCAUUGUAACAAGAAAAAUAAAAUUCAUACGAUCUAAUCGUGGAGGAGAAUAUUUGAGUUACGAGUUUGGUUUACAUUUGAAACAAUGCGGAAUAGUUUCACAACUCACGCCACCUGGAACACCAUAAUGUAAUGGUGUGUCCGAAUGUCGUAAUCGUACUUUACUAGAUAUGGUGCGAUCUAUGAUGCCUCUUACUGAUUUACUGUUAUCGUUUUGGGGUUAUGCUUUAGAGACGGCCGCAUUCACGUUAAAUAGGGCACCAUCAAAAUCCGUUGAGACGACGCCUUAUGAACUGUGGUUUGGCAAGAAACCAAAGUUGUCGUUUCUUAAAGUUUGGGGCUGCGAUGCUUAUGUGAAGAAACUUCAACCAGAUAAGCUCGAAUCCAAAUUGGAGAAAUGUGUCUUCAUAGGAUACCCAAAGGAGACUAUUGGGUACACCUUCUAUCACAGAUCUGAAGGCAAGACUUUUGUUGCUAAAUUUGGAUCCUUUCUAGAGAAGGAGUUUCUCUUGAAAGAAGUGAGUUGGAGGAAAGUAGAACUUGAUGAGGUAACUGUACCUGCCCCCUUGGAAAAUAGUUUAUCACAGAAACCGGUUCCUAUGACGACUACACCAAUUAGUGAGGAAGCUAAUGAUAUUGAUCAUGAAACUUCAAAUCAAGUUACUACCGACCCUCGUAGGUCAAUUAGAGUAAGAUACGCACCAGAGUGGUAUGGUAAUCCUAUUCUGGAAGUCAUGUUACUUGACCAUGGCGAACCUACAAACUAUGAGGAAGCGAUGAUGAGCCCAGAUUCCGCAAAAUGGCUUGAGGCCAUGAAAUCUGAGAUGGGAUCCAUGUAUGAGAAGAAAGUAUGGACUUUGGUUGACUUGCCUGAUGAUCGGCAAGCCAUCAAAAAUAAAUGGAUCUUCAAGAAGAAGACUGACGCUGAUGGUAAUGUUACUGUCUACAAAGCUCGGCUUGUUGCGCAAGGUUUUCGACAAGUUCAAGGAGUUGACUACGAUGAGACUUUCUCACCCGUAGUGAUGCUUAAGUCUGUCCGAAUCAUGUUAGCAAUUGCCGCAUUUUAUGAUUAUGAAAUAUGGCAAAUGGAUGUCAAAAUUGCAUUCCUGAAUGGAUUUCUAGAAGAAGAGUUGUAUAUGAUGCAACCAGAAGGUUUUGUCGAUCCAAAAGGUGCUAACCAAGUGUGCAAGCUCCGGCGAUCCAUUUAUGGACUGGUGCAAACCUCUCGGAGUUGGAAUAAACGCUUUGAUAGUGUGAUCAAAGCAUAUGGUUUUAUAGAGAAUUUUGGAGAAGCCUCUAUUUACAAGAAAGUGAGUGGGAGCUCUGUAGCAUUUCUGAUAUUAUAUGUAGACGACAUAUUGUUGAUUGGAAAUGAUAUAGAAUUUCUGGAUAGCAUAAAAGGAUACUUGAAUAAAAGUUUUUCAAUGAAAGACCCCGGUGAAGCUGCUUAUAUAUUGGGCAUCAAGAUCUAUAGAGAUAGAUCAAGACGCUUAAUUGGACUUUCACAAAGCACAUACCUUGAUAAAGUUUUGAAAAAGUUCAAAAUGGAUCAAGCAAAGAAAGGGUUCUUGCCUGUAUUACAAGGUGUGAAGUUGAGUCAUACUCAAUGCCCGAACACAGCAGAAGAUAGAGAGAAAAUGAAAGAUGUUCCCUAUGCUUCAUCCAUAGGCUCUAUCAUGUAUGCAAUUCUGUGUGCCAGACCUGAUGUAUGCUUAGCAAUAAGUUUAGCAGGGAGGUACCAAAGUAAUCCAGGAGUGGAUCACUGGACAGAGGUCAAGAAUAUCCUGAAAUACCUGAAAAGGACUAAGGAUAUGUUUCUUGUUUAUGGUGGUGACAAAGAGCUAGUCAUAAAUGGUUACGUCGAAGCAAGCUUUGACACUGAUCCGGACGAUUCUAAAUCGCAAACCGGAUAUGUGUUUAUAUUGAAUGGUGGAGCUGUCAGUUGGUGCAGUUCUAAACAAAGCGUCGUGGCGGGAUCUACAUGUGAAGCGGAGUACAUAGCUGCUUCAGAAGCAGCAAAUGAAGGAGUCUGGAUGAAGGAGUUCAUAUCCUAUCUAGGUGUCAUACCUAGUGCAUCGGGACCAAUGAAAAUCUUCUGUGAUAAUACUGGUGCAAUUGCCUUGCAAAGGAAUCCAGAUUUCACAAGAGGACCAAGCACAUCAAGAGACGCUUCAAUUCCAUUUGGGACCAAGUCCAGGUGGGAGACAUAGAGAUUUGCAAGAUACAUACGGAUCUGAAUGUUACAGACCCGUUGACGAAGCAGAAAUGUAACGAAUGAGUUAGUUACGGGAUGAUGCAUUACGUAACGAGUAAAGAGACUUACCGGUAACGAGAUUGAACUAGGUAUUGGGAUAUCGACGAUCAAAUCUCGGGCAAGUAACAUACUGACAAAGGGAACAACAUAUGUUGUUAUGCGGUUUGACCGAUAAAAAUCUUCGUAGAAUAUGUGGGAGCCAAUAUGAGCAUCCAAGUUCCGCUAUUGGUUAUUGACCGGAGACGUGUCUCGGUCAUGUCUACAUAGUUCUCGAACCCGUAGGGUCCGCACGCUUAAAGUUAGAUGACGGUUAUAUUAUGAGUUUAUAUGUUUUGAUGUACCGAAGAUAGUUCGGAGUCCCGGAUGUGAUCACAGACAUGACGAGGAGUCUCGAAAUGGUCGAGACAUGAAGAUUGAUAUAUUGGAUGACUAUAUUCGGACACCGGAAUAGUUUCGGGGGUUAUCGGAUGUAUACCGGAGUACCGGGGGGUUACCGGAACCCCCCGGGGGGUUAAUGGGCCUCAUGGGCCCAAAGUGGAGCAGAGGAGGGGCGGCCAGGGCAGGCCGCGCGCCCCCUCCCCCUCUAGUCCGAAUAGGAUAAGGAGGGGGGUGCCCCCCUUUCCUUCCUCUCCUCUCUCCCCUUCCUUCCCCCUCUGAAAGUGCAACUAUCCCUAGGUGGUUUUGGUAAUUCAUAACAACAUAUAGCUCAUUGAGCUAAUGCUAUUCCAAGACUAUUAUUUCAAGAAAGCUCAAUGAAUGGCAUGUCAUGGAUGAUUAAAGUGGAUCCCUCAAAAUACUAAGGACAAAGGAUUGGCUCAAGACUCUUCAUUUUAUAUUUUAGUGAUCUAAGAUUACAUUGAGUCUAUAGGAAAAGCCAAUACUAUCAAGGAGGGAUGAGGUGUUGCUUAAUGAGCCUCUUGCUUCAUGUGCUUAGUGAUAUGCUCCAAAACCCUCAGCUGCUUUCUCACAUCCACAAAUGACCUAAACCCAAAGCCAAAAUCGGUCACACCGAUUCUUCCUAUCCGGCGCCACCGAUUUCAAAAGUCAUAGCCACUGCCACAAACCCUAGGUAGAUCGGUUCUACCGACAGGGAUCUCGGUCUCACUGAGAUGGGACUGUAAUCUUUUUGUUUCCCUUCGUAACGUUUUGGUCUAACCGAAAUGAGCGAUCGGUCCCACCGAGAUUGCAAUGUAAAUUCUCUGUUUCCCUUUUGUAACAUUUCGGUCUCACCGAAAAGAGCAAAUCGGUCCCACCGAGUUUACCUGACCAACUCUCUGGAAAGCUUAUUACCAGAAUUGGUCUCACCGAGUUUGUGUAAUCGGUCUUAUCGAGAUUACGUUAUGCCCUAACCCUAACUGAAUCGGUCUCACCGAGUUGCAUGUCAGUCCCACCGAAAAUCACUAAUGGUCACUAGGUUUACUAAAUCGGUCCGACCGAGUCUGUUGAAUCGGUCCCACCCAGUUUGGUAAAUUGUGUGUAACGGUUAGAUUUUGUGUGGAGGCUAUAUAUACCCCUCCACCUCCUCUUCAUUCGUGGAGAGAGCCAUCAGACUAAACCUACACUUCCAACUUACCAUUUCUGAGAGAGAACCACCUACUCAUGUGUUGAGGCCAAGAUAUUCCAUUCGUACCAUAUGAAUCUUGAUCUCUAGCCUUCCCCAAGUUGCUUUCCACUCAAAUCUUCUUUCCACCAGAUCCAAAACCUAUGAGAGAGAGUUGAGUGUUGGGGAGACUAUCAUUUGAAGCACAAGAGCAAGGAGUUCAUCAUCAACACACCAUUUGUUACUUCUUGGAGAGUGGUGUCUCCUAGAUUGGCUAGGUGUCACUUGGGAGCCUCCGACAAGAUUGUGGAGUUGAACCAAGGAGUUUGUAAGGGCAAGGAGGUCGCCUACUUCGUGAAGAUCUACCGCUAGUGAGGCAAGUCCUUCAUGGGUGACGGGCAUGGUGGGAUAGACAAGAUUGCUUCUUCGUCGACCCUUCGUGGGUGGAGCCCUCCGUGGACUCGUGCAACCAUUACCCUUCGUGGGUUGAAGUCUCCAUCAACGUGGAUGUACGAUAGCACCACCUAUCGGAACCACGCCAAAAACAUCCGUGUCUCCAAUUGCGUUUGAAUCCUCCAAACCCUUCCCUUUACUUUCUUGCAAGUUGCAUGCUUUAAUUUCCGCUGCCCAUAUACUCUUUGCAUGCUUGCUUGAUUUGUGUGAUGAUUGCUUGACUUGUCCUAAGAUAGCUAAAAUCUGCCACACUCUAAAAUUGGGAAAAGGUUAAGUUUUUAAUUGGUCAAGUAGUCUAAUCACCCCCCUCUAGACACACUUCAAGGUCCUACAAGUGGUAUCAGAGCUUUGGUCUCCAUUUGCUUUGAUUUCCAUAGCUUUUGGUGGUCAUAGCCUUGGUUUCACAACCUAGGAGAGUAUGGCAUCUAGCGAGGGAAAUUAUCACCGUAGAGGUCCUUACUUUGAUGGUACUAAUUUUGCUAGUUGGAAGCAUAAGAUGAAAAUGCAUAUUCUCGGACAUAACCCCGCCGUUUGGGCAAUUAUUUGUAUUGGCUUGCAAGGUGAAUUCUUUGAUGGGAGAGAGCCGAACCGUGAAGCUAAUGCGUAAGAAUUGAAGAUGCUGCAAUAGAACUCUCAAGCUUGUGAUAUCAUCUUCAACGGAUUGUGCCCCGAAGAAUUCAACAAAAUCAGCCGUCUUGAGAAUGCAAAGGAAAUUUGGGAUACUUUAAUUGAUAUGCACGAAGGUACCGAAUCCGUCAAGGAAUCCAAGUUGGGUGUGCUCCAAAGUCAGCUUGACAAGUUCAAAAUGAAGGAUGGUGAAGGUGUCGUCGAAAUGUACUCUAGGCUUGCUCUUAUUACAAAUGAGAUUGCCGGCUUAGGGAGUGAAGAGAUGACCGACAGAUUCAUCAUCAAGAAGAUCCUAAGAGCAUUGGAUGGAAAGUAUGAUACCGUGUGCACAUUGAUCCAAAUGAUGCCAAACUACAAAGAUCUCAAGCCAACGGAAGUCAUUGGAAGAAUUUUUGCUCAUGAGAUGUCACUCAAGGAUAAGGAGGAACUUCACAACAAGUCAAGUGGUGCUUACAAAGCCUCAAGUGAAGCCCCCACAUCAUCAAGUGAGAAACAAACCUUCAAUGAAGAAUUGAGCUUAAUGGUGAAGAACUUCAACAAAUUCUACAAGAGUAGAAGCAAAGAAAGAAGCUCCAAGUCAAGGUCUUACCAUGACAAAAGAUCUUCUAGUCGAGAGCGCAAUUGCUACAAUUGUGGGAGACCUGGACACUAUUCCAAUGAGUGUACGACACCCUACAAAAGAAGAGAAGAUUCUCCAAGAAGAAGAAGCAAAAGAGAAGAAUCACCACCAAGAGAGAGGAUGAGUAGAGAUGAUCGUUAUGAACGAAGACCCUCACGGAGAAGCAAGGAUUCGGAAAGGAAGGACAAGUCAUCAAGGAACUACACAAAACGAAGACAUCAAGCUCAUGUUGGUGAAUGGGUAUCCGGCUCCGACUCCAACAAUCACUCCGAGAGAAGCUAUCACUCCGACUCCGAAUAUACUCAAGAUGAAGGUGUUGCCGGUCUAGCACUUGUGUCAACCAACUCCUACGACAUAUUUGAUUCACCAAAUGAAGGAAUUGGAAGAUGCUUCAUGGCCAAAUGUCCAAAGGUAACACAUCCUGAGUAUGUUGAUUUCAAUAGUGAUGAAGAUGACUUGCUUGUGGAUGAUGAUCUACUUGUUGACAACUCUAGUGAUGAAUACUAUGAUGAAACGUCAAUUAAUCAUGCUAAUCAAGAUAAAACGAAUGACAAUGAUAAGGAGAAGAUUGAGCUUCUAACUAAAGAACUAAACACUCUUAAGUUGGCUCAUGAAACUAUCUUCGAAGAUCAUCGAGAACUUUUAAGGGCUCAUGAGAAGUUACGCUUUGAAAAGCUCAAUCUUGAGCAAGAGCAUGAGUUCUUAAAAGCAAUCAAUGAUGAUCUCCAUAAGAAAAGUUCUUCUUACAUUGCCAAGCAUUUACUCUUAUCUACUUACAUGCCUCAAGUCAAGUCUAGUAACAAGUACAAGAAAGAUACUUCCUCUAGUAGUAACAAUAAUAAUGUCAAAUCCAAUAUUGUUGCUUCUAGUAGUUCUCUUGAUUCCACUAAUGAUUCUCUUAGCCAAGUUACACUUGAGCAAGAAAAUAGCUUAUUGAAGGUAAUUAUAGAGAAAGGUGUUUACAAGAGCCUUGCCGGGAGUAAGCAAUUUGAGGAAAUUGUACGCAAGCAAGGAAGGCACCGGAAGAAUCAAGGUGUUGGUUUUGAACGAAAGUUCAAUGCCAAUGGAGUUGAGUGGGAAGAAGAUCAAUACCCCAAGACGAAGUUUGUUCCUCAACAAGAGAAGUAUGAUCCUACUUCCUUCAAGGGAACACAAGCACAAGAUGAUCUUCCACCACAAUACCACAAGAACAAAGGCAAGGACAAUAUUCAAGAAGAGAUUGAUGCAUUUGAAGAAGCACCUAAGGCCUCGUUCAAGUGGGUUCCCAAGACUACCUCAAGUUCUACCUCAUCAAGUACAACUACAACUCCAAGGAUUCCCAUCAAGAUGAUGUGGAUCCCGAAGAAGAAGAACUAGAGAGUUCUUGAGGGUGACUCCGCCAACAUUCUUCACUCAUAUCAUUAUGGCAAGAACAAGUGCAAUCAACUUCCACAUCUUGCACUAGUUCAAGGAGUCACACACCCUCAUGUUGGUAAGGCAAGGGACAAGGUAACCUAAUGAUUUCAUGGACAUCAUCUUGUGUGUGCAUCACUCUAUGUCUAUGGAUAUUCUUGUUUGUUCCUUGUGGGACUAACCCGUGUAGGUAAGUUGAAAGUGCAACUCACUCCAACGGAUUGCUCCAAAUGAUCUACAUCAACAUUGAGCAUCCACAUCUUCAACACCUACAUGAAGUCAUCAUCAACAAAACCCAAGGUUAGUUCAUCCCUCUAAGGGGGGAUCUCACAUCUAGGGGGAGCUUAACUCUAAGAAUUGAGUCAAAGCAACUCUAAUGGUGUGAACACAUCAAUGCAUUAUGUAAAAGUGGUAACCCCACUUGAGCUUAAACGAUGAGUAUGACCUAUGAUCAAAUGUACUCAUUUGACUCCUAAGUCAAUAUACUCAUAUAUAGAUGACCUAGUCAUCGCCAACUGUUUGAUAGAUGCUAGAAUUGGUUGUGCAUGUUUUGCCACAUAUUUCAUUUGCCAUCUCAUUGUGUGAGCAUGUUGGUGCAUAUUUUACUCAUUCAAGGACAUCCACUUGUUGUUUUGAUUGAUUUGCCUCUUUUUCUUUUUGCCAAGUGGAUGGACAAGAAUGCCUAAGAACCUUCUCUAGCUAUCUAUGCUUUUCUCGUCUCAAACUCUAUUCAUGCUACAUCACAAAAUUUGAUCAAGUCAUAUUCGAACCACUCUGUGUGAGGAGCACUCGGAGUCCCCGAUUUGUCAUAGACUUAAACUUCCAAAACUUCUUUGUGAUUCUCGGUCUGACCGAUUCCUCCAUUUCGGUCCUACCGAGAUCAUUAAGUCGAUCUAAGUUUUCAAUCUCGGUGCAACCGAUUUGAACUUUUCGGUCACACCGAGUUGCUGUAACUAUACAUAGUUAUGCAUCUCGGUGCCACCGAGUUGUUCCACUCGGUCACACCGACAGGGUCGGGCUAUAUAUAGUCACGGGCGAAAAUUUGGAAAUUCCUCCGAACCCCUUCGCCCGCGCAAUAGCUCGCUCUGCCUCCAAGGUCUCCGGAUCGUCUCCUCGUCGCCAGCCGCCUCCUGUCGCUGGUCUCCGCCACCGUCAACGGAAUUCAACCCCGCCGCCGUAGCGAGUUCAUCGCCGAGCUAGGGUAUGGACUUGAUCACUGUGCUAUCCUCGUCCGAUUCCUAGCACAUUGUGUUCUUAAUGAUUCUUGCCACGAUUGAAACACUCCUAUCCAGUCAAUGUAAUCCGUAGAUUAGAUGAGAUUCAAAAUUUUAGGGUUAGGUUUCCGCCGAAACCAUCUCGGACCCACCGAGUUGAAAAACUCAGUCCCACCGAUUUGGCUUAUGCCAUUGCACUAGUAACUCUCGGUCUAACCGAGAAUUGCUAAUCGGUGAGACCGAUUUUAGGACUUUGUGAAACCCUAGCAGUCUCGGUGUCACCGAACUGUGACUCGGUCCAACCGAGUUCAUCAGUUUAGGUUCCAAAACUGAUUCGGUAUCACCGAGUUUGAAAAUCGGUUGAUCCGAAAUGCUUUCUGUGGAAAACUAAAACUAAACUUUUGAAUCAUUCUUUUGCAAAAAUAUCUGCAUUUUUGUGAUGCUCAUCCACUCUAUCUCAUCUAUAACUCUUCACAGGGUCAGCAGUCAGUGUUUGCAGCAUGUCAGACCAGAGUGACAGCCAGAACAGGUCAGAAGAGCAGAUUGACAUGAGUCAGGGCACUAGUCCCUCCAGCACUUCAGAUGAAGGCAGCAGAAGCACUCCUAGCAACCUGCCUAAGGCUGCUACCAGGUAAAGGAAGAAGAGAACUUCAGACUCUGAAGAUGAGGAUUAUAGAGCUGAAGAGGAUGAGGCUACUUCCAAGAAAGUAGUGCUCAAAAAGGAGUAUGGCUCAGCAAAGAACACAAAGCCUGGACUGAAUAAGAAGGUUCCUGCCAAGAGGACACCUAUGCCCAAGGUCAGAAGGUCCACUCAAGUGCCAGAACAGACUGAACCCAAAGAGGCACCUGAAAAGAAAGUCACAUCUUCCAAACCCAAGAAAGUUCCCACUGGAGAAACAAUGAAGUUUACCAUUGAAUCAGAGGAUGAAGCUGCUCAGGAUAAGAAGAAGAAGAGAGCAAGAACCACAACUGCCCAUGUUCUUGGAAAGCCCUCAAUGAGAAGAGACUCUAAAGAGGAAGAAGAGGUUGUUGCACCAGCACCCAAGGCACCAAAGCUUAUGGGUGAUGCUAUUAGAUCAGGGGCUGCAACAUCUAAGCCCAAGGAAGCACCCAAAGCUGCCCCCAAGGCCAAGCUUGCACCAAAAAGGAAUACCAGGAGUAUUCUAGCUGCUGAGAAGAACAAGGCCCCAGUGCCUAAUGUUGCUGAUGAGGAAUAUGAAGAAGGACAGGUCCUAAGGAAGCUCAAGCCCAAGAUACCAGACCACAAUGAUGCCCAUCCUGUGGCUGAGGACAUGAACAUCAGAAGAGACUCAGGGUUGAGGCUAUGGAGGCUGACAGAUCCAUAUGCCGCAAGGAGAAGAACUGCUGUUGAUUACAGGUUCCAUACAAAGGAACAGUAGGACUUCUAUGAGACAAUCUUGUUGGACAAGAAGCCCAUAGUAUGUGAUAUGAGGUGGGUCGACUGGGACUACAUAAAGGAAAAUGAAGAGCACUAUCCUGGAGUGCAAGAUAGUUUUGUUGCUUGUGGAGUUGCAGAUUAUGUUGGGCAAAAGCUCACCAACUGGAAUGAUGAACUUAUCAUGCAAUUCUACUCCACAACACACUUCUAUCCAGAUGGGAGGAUAGUUUGGAUGUCUGAAGGUACAAGGUACCAGUCCACUGUUGAGGAAUGGGCAAGACUGAUCAAUGCCCCAAAGGAAAAUUAUGAUGACCUGGAUGUUUAUUCCAAGAAGAAGAUGGACCACAAUUCCAUGGCACACAUGUACAAGGAGAUCCCAGACAAAGCUGUUGAGACACAUAAGUUUGGUUCAGUCCACUUCAAGGCUGCCCACAAUCAAUUGGAUCCUAAGGCACACUCUAUUGCCUAAGUCUGGUGACCACAACAUGAUUAGAGGGCAUGCAAUCAACAUGUUGCAUUUGUUUGAUGUGCCUCAGAAAUUCAAGGUCAUGAGCCUUAUGGUUGAAACCAUUAAGAGGACUGCAGCAGAUCAGAAGAGGAGAUGUGGAUAUGCCCCUCAGAUUCAGGAGUUGAUUAACUCAAAGAAGGGAACAGGCAAAUAUCUAUUGGAUAAGGAACAUUUUCCACUUUAUUCAGACUUUGAGGACAAUGAGGUUGUCAUGAAUGAGAAUGAUCCAUCAUCUGUACAUGCUCAAGAGAAGAAGGAGAAGGCAAGGAAGGAGAAGGCUGCCAAGAUGCCAACUCAAGAGGAGGCAUCUGAGUAUUUCUUAAAGAACAAGCAGGAUCAGCUUGGUUACUUAAUAGCAUCAACACUGAGGAUUGAGAAGGGAUUGGCCACCCUCACUCAGAAUCAGGAGAGCUUGGAAAGAAUCAUGGAACUCAAAUUUCAUGAUCUUGAUGUCAAAGUAACUGAGAUUCAGUCAGUUAUGGAGCAGCUGCAGGAUGACAUGCAGGAGAGGCAGGGCAAGACUACCACUAAUGUGUUUGCCAGAGUGCCUAGAGCCCAGAGGUCAGUUGCAGUGCCUGUGAUAGACACUAGAGCAACAUCAUCUGCACCAGCUACAGCUCCUACAGCUCCAGUGCAACCAGCUCCAGCAUCAACUCCAGCACCCUCUACUUCAACUGAAGCCUUCAUUCUUGGAGUUAUCCGGACACCACCACCUGAAGAUCAAGCCUGAGAGACGAUCUAGAACUAUGCAUUUUCUAUGAACUUUUUGGUAACUUGUUGCCAAAGGGGAAAAAUGUAUAGAUCAUAGGCUUCGAGAGAGAGAGUGUUGCUUUUGUUCUCUCUUGAUUUGGUGGUUAAAACUUGUUUGCUUUUGAUUGCUUGAGAUACUAUGCUAUUCUUGUGAGACAUUGAUGAUCAUGUGUUUGAUCAUAAGCUACACUUAUGCAUGUUUGAUGAUAUUAUCUUAUCUAUCCUAUGUGAUCAUUCACCUUGCUUGGUGAUGAGUGCAUGUAUUCAAAUAUUUAUCAUUUUGAGCUCUCCACCAAGAUGUAUGUGACAUGGAAGAGUAACCCAUGAGCCUAAUUCCUUGUGCAUUUGCAGUCCAAAGAAAAUCUUAAACUAUGCACAAAUUUAGGGGCAGCUCUUGCUUAUCACAUACUUCUCAAAGCGAUGAUGUUCUUCAAUCUUAUUAUCAUUUGUCGAAGCUUUGAUCUAUAUGUUGUCAUCAAUUACCAAAAAGGGGGAGAUUGAAAGUGCAACUAUCCCUAGGUGAUUUUGGUAAUUCAUAACAACAUAUAGCUCAUUGAGCUAAUGCUAUUCCAAGACUAUUAUUUCAGGAAAGCUCAAUGAAUGGCAUGGCAUGGAUGAUAAAAGUGGAUCCCUCAAAAUACUAAGGACAAAGGAUUGGCUCAAGACUCUUCAUUUUAUAUUUUAGUGAUCCAAGAUCACAUUGAGUCUAUAGGAAAAGCCAAUACUAUCAAGGAGGGAUGAGGUGUUGCUUAAUGAGCCUCUUGCUUCAUGUGCUUAGUGAUAUGCUCCAAAACCCUCAGUUGCUUUCUCACAUCCACAAAUGACCUAAACCCAAAGCCAAAAUCGGUCACACCGAUUCUUCCUAUCCGGCGCCACCGAUUUCAAAAGUCAUAGCCACUGCCACAAACCCUAGGCAAAUCGGUUCUACCGAUAGGGAUCUCGGUCUCAUCGAGAUGGGAUUGUAAUCUCUCUGUUUCCCUUUGUAACGUUUCGGUCUAACCGAAGUGAGCGAUCGGUCCCACCAAGAUUGCAAUGUAAAUUCUCUGUUUCCUUUUGUAACAUUUCGGUCUCACCGAAAAGAGCAAAUCGGUCCCACCGAGUUUACCUGACCAACUCUCUGGAAAGCUUAUUACCAAAAUCGGUCUCACCGAGUUUGUGUAAUCGGUCUUACCGAGAUUACGUUAUGCCCUAACCCUAACCGAAUCGGUCUCACCGAGUUGCAUGUCAGUCCCACCGAAAAUCACUAACGGUCACUAGGUUUACUAAAUCGGUCCGACCGAGUCUGUUGAAUCGGUCCCACCGAGUUUGGUAAAUUGUGUGUGACGGUUAGAUUUUGUGUGGAGGCUAUAUAUACCCCUCCACCUCCUCUUCAUUCGUGGAGAGAGCCAUCAGACUAAACCUACACUUCCAACUUACCAUUUUUGAGAGAGAACCACCUACUCAUGUGUUGAGGCCAAGAUAUUCCAUUCCUACCAUAUGAAUCUUGAUCUCUAGCCUUCCCCAAGUUGCUUUCCACACAAAUCUUCUUUCCACCAGAUCCAAAACCUAUGAGAGAGAGUUGAGUGUUGGGGAGACUAUCAUUUGAAGCACAAGAGCAAGGAGUUCAUCAUCAACGCACCAUUUGUUACUUCUUGGAGAGUGGUGUCUCCUAGAUUGGCUAGGUGUCACUUGGGAGCCUCCGACAAGAUUGUGGAGUUAAACCAAGGAGUUUGUAAGGGCAAGGAGAUUGCCUACUUCGUGAAGAUCUACCGCUAGUGAGGCAAGUCCUUCAUGGAUGAAGGCCAUGGUGGGAUAGACAAGGUUGCUUCUUCGUGGACCCUUCGUGGGUGGGGCCCUCCGUGGACUCGCGCAACCGUUACCCUUCGUGGGUUGAAGUCUCCAUCAAUGUGGAUGUACGAUAGCACCACCUAUCGGAACCACGCCAAAAACAUCCGUGUCUCCAAUUGCGUUUGAAUCCUCUAAACCAUUCUCUUUACUUCCUUGCAAGUUGCAUGCUUUAAUUUCCGCUGCCCAUAUACUCUUUGCAUGCUUGCUUGAUUUGUGUGAUGAUUGCUUGACUUGUCCUAAGAUAGCUAAAAUCUGCCACACUCUAAAAUUGGGAAAAGGUUAAGUUUUUAAUUGGUCAAGUAGUCUAAUCACCCCCCUCUAGACAUACUUCAAGGUCCUACACCCUCUCCUACUUGGACAAGGAAAGGAGGGAGUCCUACUCUCGGUGGGAGUAGGACUCCUCCCUGGCGCGCCUCCUCCUAGCCGACCGCCCCCUCCCCCUUGCUCCUUUAUAUACGGGGGCAGGGGGCACCUCUAGACACAACAAUUGAUCCUUGAGAUCUAUUAGCUGUGUGCGGUGCCCCCCUCCACUAUAUUACACCUCGAUAAUAUCAUAGUGAUGCUUAGGCGAAGCCCUCGUCGGUAGAGCAUCAUCAUCAUCACCACGCCGUCGUGCUGAUGGAACUCUCCCUCGCAGCUCUGCUGGAUCGGAGUUCGAGGGACGUCAUCGAGCUGAACGUGUGCUGAACUCGGAGGUGCCGUGCGUUCGGUACUUGAUCGGUCGGAUCAUGAAGACGUACGACUACAUCAACCGCAUUGUGCUAACGCUUCCGCUUUCGGUCUACGAUGGUACAUGGACAACACUCUCCCCUCUCGUUGCUAUGCAUCACCAUGAUCUUGCGUGUGCGUAGGAUUUUUUUUGAAAUUACUACGUUCCCCAUCAGUGCACACAUGAGAGCCUGAAGUCAGCGGGCACGGGGUAACAUGGCCAGCUACAUGGAGUCAUGUUGAAGGUGGAGCUGGAGUCUGACGGAGGACUUCACUCGGUGCUAAUGGAGGGGCUAUGGUGUAAGAUGUCGAAAAAUUAGAGUCUGUUUCAACGGUUAAAAGAGAGAGACAUGUGGAUCGGACUUGGGGCGGAUGGUCUGAUUAAAACAUGAUACUCUACAUUGGUCGGUGAUGAUCAGAGGUUCUUUAUAGUAGGGGUUGAGGCAUUGUCGGCUAGCUACCCAGGAGACUCAGCUGGUAUAGCACAGGCUCGACGUGGUGAUCAUGACGAGCGUUGAUGUGAGAACAAGACACAGUGACAGACCAAUGCACUAGUAGUAAGGCAAAGUGUGGAAAAGGUGCUAAAGUAGUGUUGGCGAGUACCAGGUUUAAGUUGGUGACUGGGUCUAUUGGUACCUGAAGAUGAACAUGAGUUAACCAUGAAGAAUCUGAGGAAGUGACGGAAAGUCUGAAGUUGUCAAAAAUUGAGAGAGUACGCGGUCGUAUAUUAUGUGGUGUUCAGUGCAUAUGGCAAGGUGCAGAUGACAAGUGCAGAAGAAGGCGGAGUGCUAUAGCUUUGGGACAUGUAAAGUCUAUACAGAAGAAAGGGUGAGACAACUACGAAUUUGACUCAGAGUGACACUAGAUGACGGUAAAAUUCCUUCAAGUUUCAGACAUCAAUGGAGAAAGAGCUAGGAUAUUGAGUUUGGGGAACUCUUAUAUGUGGCGUCCAAAAUGUGAGUCAUUCACUUUCAGAAACAAAUAUUUCAGAAAUUGGGGACGCAAACUAGAGUAAAGGAGUAACUUAAUUUUGCUCGAGAGUUGAUGGUGAAGAAGACAAGACGGAACUACAAUUGUAGGUGUAGUCACAUCGAGUCUGGAAGUAGCAGCAGUGUUCAUGGUAAAAAAAUUAGUUUAAUGUACAUGAAAGUUUGAUGCAUGCAUGAAUCGGUGGAGAAUAUUUGUCAAGGUGGAGUUUGUUGAAAUUGUGUUGAAUAUGUUUAUACAUGGUACUCCCUCUGUGAAAAAAUAUAAGAGCGUUUAAAUCACUAGGGAGUAGGUUACAUUAGACUUGAGUAGUACGGUGUGUAGCCAGGGUAUGGUGUAGUGUCCCAGUGUGACUUGCAUCCUAGAUCUUUAUAUAAUAUGGGAGUAGACACAUGUUAUAACAUAUGCCCAACAUAAUAACAUAAACACACAAGGGAGCGGGCGGCAUGUGCUGGCACCCAGAUGGUUGGUGUGCGAUAUUGUGACGGUGUCAUGCGGAGGAGCGUCCGUAAUCCUACCCCGGGGAUGUAGCCGUAUUGGUGAAGCUCGUUAACAAAUCUCAAUGUCGUGGCUUGUGUGCUUGCUUGGUCUUCAAAUGGCCCUCAAAUAUGAAGUCUCGUGAUUCCUAUGUAGCGUGCUCCAUAAAUUAUGACAACUCAGGGUUUGAUGACGACUCUAUCAGAGUGGCCUUUUUGGUCAAAGUCGUCAUAUAUUCACGGUGAUCAGGCCGAUAUGCUAACUCUAGAGUUGCUGUAAGUUGGGGUCGCUUGCUUGAGAAGUGACGAAACCGAUGACUAUGUGGACAAGACUUUUCUCCAUGGUGGUGUAUGACGCAUCUUGAGUGUGCCAUCUUCCCCAACCUCAUAAACUGUUCACACCUGGACAUCGUCGUUCUGGAUUGGAAAGUCGGAGGCUGGAAACAGUGCAUUUGCUCUUAUUUCUUGAGAGAACGGAAACUAUGUAUAGUUUACACAACCUUCCCUGAAGAAAAAAUUAAUGGUUUUGGACUUGACUCCACUGGUCCAAGUAGUCGCUUUCCGAACUGAUCCUGUCUCUAACGGCGUGCUUCGUCACCGACUCGAACGCAAUGGCAAAGUGGCCCACCAAUGAUCGACUUGCGCUCAGGCACUUUGGGUUGGGUUGGGAUUUCUCAAAAAAAAAAAUGCACUUUGGGUUGGGUGGUCAAACGAAGAAAAAUCUUGGAUAGAGCAAAUGCAAAUAUAGAGGUCUUUUUUUUAGACGCGGACAUGGGAGUGGAGACAUCAGACUGACUAGCGGAGCUUCUUUUUUUUUAGACGCGGACAUGGUGAGGGGAGACAUCAGACAUGACUAGCGGAGCUUCUUUUUUUUAGACGCGGACAUGAUGAGGGGAGACAUCAGACAUGACUAGCGGAGCUUCUUUUUUUAGACACGGACAUGGUGUCGGGCGUGCCGGCCUGCAUCAGCAUCCUGGCCAGCCCGAAGUCUGCGACCUUGGUUCGGAACUCGUAGUCCAGCAAGAUGUUGCUGGUCUUGACGUUCCGGUGAACGAUGGGCUGGGAGCACUCGUGGUGCAUGUAGCAGUGCCCCUGCGCGGCGCCGAUGGCGACUAUGAUCCUCGUGGGCCAGUCCAAACCACCCUCCAUGGACGACGCGGAGUGCUCGGCACUGUGGGGGAGAGUGUGCAUGUGGAGCCACACAGAGUACCCGACGACGUAUUUGUAUGGUUGUUAUUAAGGAUAAAACAAUGGAGUUUAUUUAUAUUGAUUGAGUUUACUUUGUCUACAUUAUGUCAUCUUGCUUAAAGCGUUACUCCUUUCUUUAUGAACUUGUAAUACUCUAAAUGCAUGUUGGAUAGCGGUCGAUGUGUGCAGUAAUAGUAGUAGAUGCCAACAUGAGUCGGUCAACUUGUCUCAGACACGAUCUCCAGAUCCGAGGGGACUAUGGGUAGACUGAACGGUCUCAGCGCGCACCAACGCACUAUGGAUGUGAUCUCUGAAUUGCGACACCACGACGUUCUGCGGCAACACCGUCUGCAGGAGCGCUUGAAUCUGACGGAUCCCUUCUCCGUCCGCAGAGUCGGUGGGUUGGAUGGAAUCAGCUAUCCGACUGGCCGCCGCGAGGUUUUGCAACGGGGUGCUGAGUACCUGGUACUUCCGAGGUUGGUCGCUCGGGAACAGCCGGUGCUUGUGCCGGCUGGAGCUAGGUUGCUGGCGAGUGCGGUCAUCCAGCUCCUUCUCCAGCCGCUCAAGGCGGCCUCGCUCGGCCAAAGUGGCCAAGCGUGCUGACUUCAUGGCCAGGGCCUCAGGAGUCUUCCCGGUGAUGGGAAUGCGCGGGGGUUGCUCGUUCUUCCAGCGGAGCUCGUCACGCUACUCCCAAGUGAGCGCCUGGGGAACAUACGGCUCGUGGAGGGGAGAACGGUCUUACUCUCCACCGUCAUUGGCGUGUCCGCGUGAAGGGCCCACGUUCACGUCGCGGGGACCGAUGCACCAUGGAGGGCCGUGCGGCUCGAAGCCGGCCAUCAGGACCUCGGCCAUGGACUCGACGCUCUCACACUCAGACUCGUCGGUGGAGUCCUCGUGGAGCUCACCGAAAAGGUCAAGGGCAGGCUCGCCAGGUUCGAGCUCCGUCACAUGGCCUGCCACGACUUGAGCAGCCACGACGUGCCCGAUCCAACGCUGGCGACGGCCAGCGGUCCGGAGAGAGAUCAGUCGAUACGAGACCGAGGGCUGUCGGAGAAGGACUCCGUACGAAGAUGCGCGGAAGUGCGCCGCGCCACGGAUGGGCAGCGACUCCACGUCUAGCGGGGCUUCCUGAAGCCAUGUCAAGUCGUCAGCGAUGAAGCUGAGCGCCCCACAAUGAAUCUCGCCGCCGACUAACUUAAUGCUGAUGAAAUUCCACCGGCGUCGUAAAGUCGCUAGAUGCGUUGCCCCACGGUGGGCGCCAAAUGUCGGGGUUAUGAUCCUGACAAUGAGUACUAGGGGUAUGAAAGAGGGGCGGAGCCUAACUACGGUGCAGGUGCAACACUUGGCGUUUAUGAGUUCAGGUAAUAGCCCUACGCCCCGUGCCUUGAGGCUUGUUUUCCGUUGGGUGGUGUGAUUACAAUGAAAUGCUUCACCCUUGUACGGCCGGAAGAGUGCGGCUUAUAUAUAGUGCGUUGCUGCCUCAUCACUCCGCCGUCGCAAGGGUGGUUUUGGUGUAUAACUACGUUAGUUACUAGUGGUAAUGGCCAGAACUACAUCAGUUACAUAUAUGAAAGUCCCUAACUACAGCAGUUUCUAAAUAUAAGUCUUAAAAAUUCCAAUACGGACUACAAACAGAUGUAUAUAGACGCAUUUUCGAGUGUAGAUUCGCUUCGUAUAUAGUUUUCAUCUAAUCCCUAAAACUUGUAUACUAUUGUACUCCCUCCGUUCCUAAAUAUUUGUUUUGCUAGAGAUUUCAACAAAUGACUACAUACGGAGCAAAAUGAGUGAAUCUACACUGUAAAAUAGGUCUAUAUACAUACGUAUAUGAUAGUUUAUUUGAAAUCCCUAAAAGGACAAAUAUUUAAGAACGGAGGGAGUACUUGCGUAGCUCAGUCCGACUGGCGUAUUUUCCCUCUAUUUUCCAUUUAUUUUUGUGCGAUCGCGACAUAAAGCUUCUAGAGAUGUCGCGUGCUCACACGCUCGUAAUCAACUACUAGGCGUUACUGACCCACAUUUGCACCCAAUAAAUCCUUUGCCCAUGGUUGGAUGGGAAAUGUCGUGCGCAUAUUGUCUAAUAAGUGUCGGCUAUACAGCAGUGCUCUUUUACGCGUCCCGAUUGGUCUAAUGGUGAUGAAGAGGUUUUUAUGCCAGUAGCUUUGACUUGCGGUACCAAAAUCAAUCCUGGUCUAUCCGAGGAGCACCGUCGAAUUUUGGGGUGGGUUCUCUUCCUUGCUUGUGAGUUCUGGUGGGAUUUGAGACGGGGAUCGCUGGCGGUGAUUUGUGGAAGGUUUUUGGCGUGGAAGGAGCGGGGAAGAGGGGUGGUGGUGGGCGUGGUUGAUGGUGGAGUUGUAGGCGUUGUGGGCUUGUGGGGUAGGGUGGUUGAUGGUGGUGGUCAAGAAGCGCACGGCUGAUUGGUUUUGACUCUGCCUGCCCGACCUGUAAUAAACCUAAUCACGCCGGCUCGGAAACCUCAUCUCAUCUCCGCGUACUUGGUAAAUAUCGCCAAAUUCCAACAAAAUUUGGUAAAUAAACAUACAGUAUCGAUGGGUUAGAUAUUAGUACAUAUAGUAUAAUAUAAGGAAAACUCUUCUAAUCAACCGGUGGAUCACGUCGUAUCGUCCGUCGCUUCCCAUGCAUGACGCGUGACCUUUAUGGAUUUAAAUUUCUGCAAUAAGUCCUUUGUUGCAAAAAUUUAUGUAAUAUGACCCCUGUUGCAUAAAGAUUCUGUAAUUGGUCUUUUUAAAAUUUCUGUAACAAAACUUCUAUUGUGAAGAAAAUUCUGCAACAAGAUUUCUGUUGCAAAAAUAAAAAAUGAAAAAUGCUACAACAAGAUAUAUGUUGUGAAUUUUUUUCCAACAAGUCACGUGUUGCAAAAAAUAAAAAAAGCAUAGGCUUGGGCGAUUGCAACAAGCUGGUUGUUGCAGAGAGCCUUCUGCAACAUCACUCUUGUUGCAGAGGAGUGGCUGCUUACGUGAAAAAGGUUGAAUGUCUUUAGCGUGUCCAUUCAAUGGUCAACGAGCCGGCGGAUAUUUUCUUAUUAUCCGCCGGCCGAUGCGUAGCGUCGCCCAUAAUAUAGAAGACCCAAAGGGUGGGAUUCCAUUAAUCUCAUCCAUCAAACAAGCUCAAUCCAACAGUCUAAACUGUUAAAAUUAUGAGUGCACAACCUGUUCACCAAAUAUAGGAUUAAUCACAUAAUUAAUAUGCACACAAUAUUUUACCUAAAUUACCGAAGGAUGUUUCCUGAACCGUUUUAUUCACGUUUCAUAUUCCUCAGCCAUUUAUCAUAUAGCAUGUGCCGACAUGUCGGUGAAAAAUGCCGUUUUCAUCGGAUUUAAUCAAAAGUUUUCCUUUUCGGCACAGGAUAUAUAGUUUUUUUUGAGAAACUUUCAAUCAAUUCAUUUUCAAUCAUGGCAGUACAAAGAACAACAGAGGUAAUAAAAAUUACAAUCAAGUCCGUGUACCACCUAGCGACGACUACAAGCACUGUAGCGUCCCUUGAUGAAGCCAUGUACCUAGGGUAGGGUCAUGAACAUGUCCAAGAUACCCUCCCCAUGGACAUCUCUAGAAGAUACCACCUUUCAGUCGACCUGGAAGGGUUCCACUCGACGGACUCGAAGACACUCGACCAUGAAGCCAACCACUCGACUGCCAGGAAACCUAAAGUCAAUCUGCACACAAACGGUCUGUCAUUAAGUAGCCCGACCUUAAUGUACCUUAAACCCUGCAUAACUGAGGGCCGGAGGGGUCUGGCGGACUCUAUAUAAGCCACCCCCUCCUCAGUGUAAGGGGUUCGCACCCUUGUAACUCAUACACAUAUAAUCCAGUCGACCGCCUCCGGGCUCCGAGACGUAGGGCUGUUACUUCCUCCGAGAAGGGCCUGAAUUCGUAAACAUCUUGCGUAUACAACUACUCCAUAGCUAGGAUCUCGCCUCUCCAUACCUCCCCCCUAUUCUACUAUCAGACUUAGAACCACGACAGUUGGCGCCCACCGUGGGGCAGGUGUCUUAGCGACCUAUUGGAGAAGUUGCGAUUUUUUCCGAUCUCCUUCAUCAUGGUUUCAGGCGGAGUUUUGGUUGAGGGCCGCGAGAUCCGUCUUGGCGCGCUCACGUUCAUCACCGACGACUCCGCUUGGCUUCAGGAGGCUCCACUCGACAUCGACGCGCUCCCCGUCCGCGGGGCGACGCACUUUCGCGCAUGCGUCCGCGGCGUCCUCCUGCGACAACCGUCGACCCAGUAUCGGUCGACCCCUGUGUCGUCCUCCCUCCCUGUUUCCCGCCGGCGCAAGCGCUCCGGUCGGUCGAGGCUUCAGCGGUGGGUGAGGCACGCGGUGGGCCGCCAGUCGGCCACCCCUCAAGUCGCGGCAAUCGAGCCCAACGAAUCUCUCUACGGCCUGUUCGACCUGUUGACUGGCUCCGUAGAGACUGCAUCCGAGUGCGACAGCAGUGAUCCAACGGCGGAGGUUCUGAUGGUCAAUGGACCGCACAGUUCUCCCGGCUUUCCCCAUGCCGACGGAGGCAACGACGGAGGCGAUCCGACGCAGAUCCGCGAAGAGUAUCAACCCGAGCCUCUCACUUCGCUGCAGAGGGAAGAACUUCACCGCCGGAACAUGGAUGCGCUACACACUCCUAUCGUCGGAGAAACCCCCGAGGCUCGUGCCUUAGAGGACACGCGCCUGGCCAACUUGGCCGAGCGCACUCGACUGGAAAACCUCCAGCGAGCACUCGACGAGCGUGCGCGGCAACGGGUUCCAGACUCCAAUCGACGUCAACUCUUUCCGCCACUGACUCAGGUAUAUCGAACUCCGAUUCAGAAUCUAGCAGCUGCAGCCCGUAUAGCAGAGUCGAUUCAGCCUUUCCAGUCAGAGGCUGGUAGAGGCUUGCUACAGAUCAGAGAUUUACUCCGGGCAGCAGGAGAUCAAAAUUCAGCUGUAUCGCAGUCGCGGAACAGGAUUCACAGUAGAUCCGUUGCUGCAAAUAUAGUCAAGUCGACCCAUAGCCCAAGAUCGCCCCCGAGGCGUGAGGGACGUGGAGAUCGGCGUGAUCAGUACAAGAACCGUGAGCAGUAUGAUGACCGACUCGAUCAUGAUGACCGGCGUCGAGUGCCCACCCCUCCCCCAAGGGGUGGAUCGUACGCGCCUCGGCAGCAGGAUGACAGACGCCAUCACAGUGUUGGGCGAAGGAUUUUAGUCGACCCCAGGGAACCAGGCUUUGAUGCAAGAUCCAUUAUUGUUCAAGGUUUGGUCGAUAGGAACAGAGCUCACCGAGAAGGCCAUGACAGAGAUGUACCCACCAGCAGCAGAGUACACAUCUCUGGGCCAGAGUGUUUUAGCAGAGCCAUCAGGGCCGCGGUGAUUCCUCCCAACUUCAGGUUGGCGACUGGAGUCAGUAAGUUCACUGGUGAGUCCAAGCCUCAUACUUGGCUUGAAGACUACCGAGUGGCUGUUCAGAUUGGUGGCUGCAACGAUGAGGUGGCCAUGAAACACCUGCCUCUUAUGUUGGAGGGCUAGGCCAGAGCAUGGUUGAAUCAGUUAGCACCCAGCAGCAUUUACACUUGGGAAGAUCUUGCCCGAGUGUUUGUCAGGACAUUUGAAGGAACUUGCAAGUGGCCAGCAGGGUUGACAGAGUUGCAGUCUUGCGUGCAAAAGUCAAAUGAAACUCUGAGAGAUUACAUCCAGAGAUGGAUCACAUUGCAUCACACGGUAGAGAAUGUAUCUGAUCACCAGGCAGUCUGUGCCUUCAAGGAAGGCGUUAAGAACAGAGAGCUAAGUCUAAAAUUUGGUCGAACUGGAGACAUGACUCUAAGUCGAAUGAUGGAAAUUGCCACCAUGUAUGCCAAUGGUGAAGAAGAGGAUCGGCUCCAGAGUGGCAAGUACAAGUCAGCCGCCCAUGAAACCGGGGGAGGGAACUCCAGUCGGAAGCAGAAGCAGAAAGCCGAGCCAGCUGCUCCUGGAGAAGCCUUGGCCGUGACUCAAGGAAAAUUUAAAGGGAAGCCCAAAGGGUCUUGGAACCCUAAGAAGGUGAAAGACAAGGAAGGGAAUGACGUGAUGGAUUUGCCGUGUCACAUCCACACGAAGAAAGAUGAGGAGGGUAAAUUCAUUUAUCCGAAACAUACCACUCGACAGUGUCAGCUCUUGAUCCAGCAAUUCCAGGGAAAACAACCCAAAGAUAAGGAAAAGGAGUCAGACAAAGUUGAAGACAAAGAAGAUAGUGAUGACGGAUAUCCCCAGGUCAAUUCCACCCUGAUGAUUUUUGCUAAUGUUGAAAGCAAAAGUCGAUUGAAAGUUAUCAACCGAGAGGUGAAUAUGGUUGCUCCGGUGACACCCAGUUAUCUAAAAUGGUCCCAGACUGCCAUCACAUUCGACCAGUCCGAUCAUCCGACACAUAUAGCCACCCUUGGGAGGCAAUCUUUGGUAGUCGAUCCAGCUGUCGAAGGCACUCGACUGACUAAAAUCUUGAUGGAUGGUGGCAGUGGCCUGAAUAUAUUGUAUGCAGAGACGUUGAAAGGGAUGGACAUUCCUGGGAAGAAGGCUCAGUACCAGCAACAUGAGUUUCCAUAGAGUCAUUCCUGGGAAGAAGGCUGAGUCACUCGGCCAAAUUGCUCUUGAUGUGGUUUUCGGUGAUUCCAAGAAUUACCGCAAAGAAAAGUUGACGUUUGAAGUUGUGGAUUUCCAGAGUGCUUAUCACGCUAUUUUGGGCAGGCCAGCUUAUGCACGUUUCAUGGCUCGACCAUGCUACGUGUACCUCAAAAUGAAGAUGCCUAGUCCCAAAGGUGUGAUCACUAUUAUUGGCAAUCAGAAGAAGGCGGAAGAGUGCUUUCAGAAAGGCUCAAAGAUCGCCGAUACUCAGAUGGCAGUGGUAGAGCUACAGGAAUACCAAAAAACUGCAGAUCCGAGUGAUUUGUUGUGAGCCAAGAAGCCCGCUACAGAAUCAGCAUUUCAGUCGUCUGGUGAGACAAAGCCGAUUCACAUUCACCCGACCAACCCCAGUGCUGCUCCGACUCAUAUCUCUACAACACUCGACUCCAAAUAGGAAGAAGCGCUCAUCCAGUUCCUCCGUGAGAACUGGGACAUCUUCGCAUGGAAGCCUGCUGACAUGCCGGGUGUUCCCAGAGGGCUGGCUGAGCACCGUCUAUGAGUCGACUCAAAAGUGAAACCUAUCAAGGAACAUCUUCGACGGUUCGCCGUCCAGAAGAGAAAGGCCAUUGGCGAGGAAGUGGCUCGACUCUUAGCAGCGGAGUUCAUCCGAGAGAUUUACCACUCCGAGUGGCUCGCCAAUGUUGUCAUGGUCCCCAAGAAGGACAAGUCACUUCGCAUGUGCAUUGACUUCAAACAUAUCCAUCGGGCCUGCCCGAAAGAUCAUUUUCCUCUCCCCCGCAUCGACCAAAUAGUCGACUCGACUGCGGGAUGUGAGCGCUUGUCUUUUUUAGACGCCUAUUCCGGUUACCAUCAGAUCUGUCUGUAUGGACCCGACGAAAUCAAAACAGCUUUCAUCACUCCAUUCGGCUGCUUCUGUUAUGUCACCAUGCCAUUCGGCCUCAAGAAUGCCGGAGCCACGUUCAUGAGGAUGAUUCGGAAGUGUCUUCUCACUCAAAUCAGUUGGAAUAUGGAAGCAUACAUGGAUGAUAUUGUAGUCAAGUCACGGAAAGGUUCCGACCUGUUGACUGACCUUGCUGAAACAUUUGCUAACCUCAGGAGGUAUGAUAUCAAACUUAAUCCAUCGAAGUGCACAUUCGGAGUUCCUGGCAGAAAGUUACUUGGUUUUCUCGUUUCCGAACGAGGAAUCAACGCCAACCCAGAAAAAGUUGGUACUAUACUCCGAAUGAAAUGCCCUGUGCGUGUGCACGAUGUCCAGAAGCUUACUGGAUGCUUGGCCGCUUUAAGUCGAUUCAUCUCUCGUCUCGGUGAAAAGGCGUUGCCUCUUUACUGACUGAUGACGAAGUCAGACAAGUUCGAGUGGACUCCUGAAGCUGAUGCAGCAUUUGCAGAGCUAAAAGCCCUGCUCUCCACCCAGCCGGUGCUUGCCGCUCUGAUCAGCAAAGAGCCUUUGCUGCUUUACAUUGCAACCACAGGACAAGUCGUCAGUACAGUACUUACGGUUGAGUGGGAAGAAGAAGGAAAAGCCUUUAAAGUCCAACGCCCAGUAUAUUAUCUUUCUGAAGUUUUGAUCCCAUCGAAGCAAAGAUACCCACAUUAUCAGAAGCUUGUAUAUGGGAUUCAUAUGACCACGAAGAAGGUUGCUCAUUACUUCUCUGACCAUUCCAUUACAGUCGUCAGCGAUGCCCCAUUGUUAGAGAUUCUGCACAACAGAGAUGCAACUGGUCGAGUGGCAAAAUGGGCGAUUGAACUCCUUCCCCUUGAUAUCAAGUUCGAGGCAAAGAAAGCCAUCAAGUCCCAAACAAUAGCAGAUUUCAUCACCGAGUGGAUGGAACAACAACUACCGACUCAAGUUCACUCGGAGCACUGGACCAUGUUCUUUGAUGGAUCUAAGAUGUUGAACGGUUCCGGUGCUGGGGUAGUGUUGGUUUCCCCCCGAGGAGAUAAGCUCAGAUAUGUGCUCCAGAUCCACUUUGAUUCCUCCAAUAACGAAGCAGAAUUCGAAGCACUUUUGUAUGGGUUGCGCAUGACCAUUUCACUCGGCGUCCGUCGCCUCAUGGUUUAUGGCGACUCAGAUUUGGUGGUUAACCAAGUGAUGAAGGAGUGGGACGUCAGAAGUCCAGCCAUGACUGGUUACUGCAAUGCAGUGAGAAAGCUAGAGAAGAAGUUUGAGGGGUUAGAGCUUCAUCAUAUACCCCUACUGAAAAAUCAAGCGGCUGAUGAUUUGGCAAAAAUAGGUUCCAAGAGAGAAGCCAUUCCCAGUAAUAUGUUUUUGGAACACAUCCACACACCAUCAGUUCAAGAGGAUCCUUUCACCGAAGAAGCUCCACAGCCAAAAAGUGUCACGGAUCCGACUGAAGUUGAAGUUCCAGUUGUGGUCGACCUGAUCAUGGAAGUUUUGGUCAUCACUCCCGACUGGACAGAGCCGUACAUCGCGUAUAUCCUAAGGAAAGAGCUCCCGGAGAAUGAAUAAGAGGCUCGACAGAUCGUCUGUCGAUCCAAAGCCUUUACCGUGAUAAAGGGACAGUUGUACAGAGAAAGCGCGACUGGAGUCGGUCAGAAAUGUAUAACACCAGAAGAAGGUCGGAUAAUCCUUGAUGAUAUCCACUCGGGGACCUGUGGUCAUCAUGCGUCCUCUCGGACCAUUGUGGCUAAAGCAUACCGAGCGGGAUUUUACUGGCCAAGAGCAAACGAAAUGGCAAAGGAAAUAGUCAACAAGUGUGAAGGAUGUCAGUUCUAUUCCAAUCUGUCACACAAGCCCGCCUCAGCUUUGAAGACCAUUCCACUCGUCUGGCCCUUCGCUGUUUGGGGGUUGGAUAUGGUUGGACCAUUGAGAACCGACAGGAGCGGCUUCACCCACUUGUUAGUGGCAGUCGACAAGUUUACUAAAUGGAUUGAAGCUAAACCUAUCAAGAAUCUCGAUGCUUGCACUGCUAUCAGUUUUGUCAAAGAGUUGAUAUUCAGAUAUGGAGUUCCGCAUAGCAUCAUCACUGAUAACGGGUCGAACUUCGAUUCCGACAAGUUCAAAGCUUUUUGCGCCUCUCAAGGCACACUAGUCAAUUACGCUUCAGUCGCUCAUCCCUAGUCGAAUGGACAAGCAGAAAGAGCAAACGACCUAAUUCUCAAAGGACUGAAACCCCGAUUGAUGCGUGAUCUCAAGCACGCAGCAGGCGCGUGGGUCGACGAACUUCCAUCAGUUCUUUGGAGAUUGAGGACCACACCUAAUCGGUCGACUGGGCGGACUCCAUUCUUUCUGGUUUAUGGAACUAAAGCAGUUCUGCCGAGUGACUUGCUUCACAGUGCACCACGAGUCGAGCUCUACUCUGAAGAUGAAGCAGAACAAGCCCGGCAGGGUGCAGUCGACCUCCUAGAAGAAGAAAGAGAGAUGGCCUUGAUCCACUCGACUAUCUAUCAGCAAGACUUGCGUCGAUUCCAUGCCAGAAAUGUGAAGAGUCGAGCCUUCCAAGAAGGAGAUUUGGUCCUCCGAGUGGAUCAACAGAAGCCACACAAACUCGCUCCUACUUGGGAAGGCCCCUUCAUCAUCACCAAAGUUAUCCGCAAUGGAGCGUACCGUCUUUACAACGUCGAUCGCCAGAUUGACGAGCCGCGAGCUUGGAAUGCGGAGCUGCUCCGCCCCUUUUAUACUUAAGUACUCACCCGGAUGAGAUGUAAUAAAAAGUACCUCUGUAGUUUGUUUAUCAAAGACAAGAGUAUUAUAAUUUUCCCAGUAAUUGUUGUUGCUUUUGUUUACGUGAGAAAUCCCCCAGUGGGUGGCUUAGCUGCGAAUCCGUUUCGCCUAAGUUUGUAAAAAAAAAUCCUAUCGAGUGACGAGCAAGCCUCUCACUCGGGGGCUUAGCUGCGAAUCCGUUUCGCCUAAGUAUUUGAAAAUCCUACCGAGUGGUAAGCCAGCCUCCCACUCGGGGGCUUAGCUGCAGUCCAAGUACUCGCCUAAGUUUAAAAAAUCCUACCGAGUGGUGAGCCAGCCUCCCACUCGGGGGCUUAGCUACAGUCCAAGUACUCGCCUAAGUUUAAAAAAUCCUACCGAGUGGUGAGCCAAACUCCCACUCGGGGGCUUAGCUGCAGUCCAAGUACUCGCCUAAGUUUUUGAAAAUCCUACGGAGUGGUGAGCCAGCCUCCCACUCGGGGGCUUAGCUGCAGUCCAAGUACUCGCCUAAGUUUUUGAAAAUCCUACCGAGUGGUGAGCCAGCCUCCCACUCGGGGGCUUAGCUGCAGUCCAAGUACUCGGCUAAGUUUAAAAAAUNNNNNNNNNNNNNNNNNNNNNNNNNNNNNNNNNNNNNNNNNNNNNNNNNNNNNNNNNNNNNNNNNNNNNNNNNNNNNNNNNNNNNNNNNNNNNNNNNNNNNNNNNNNNNNNNNNNNNNNNNNNNNNNNNNNNNNNNNNNNNNNNNNNNNNNNNNNNNNNNNNNNNNNNNNNNNNNNNNNNNNNNNNNNNNNNNNNNNNNNNNNNNNNNNNNNNNNNNNNNNNNNNNNNNNNNNNNNNNNNNNNNNNNNNNNNNNNNNNNNNNNNNNNNNNNNNNNNNNNNNNNNNNNNNNNNNNNNNNNNNNNNNNNNNNNNNNNNNNNNNNNNNNNNNNNNNNNNNNNNNNNNNNNNNNNNNNNNNNNNNNNNNNNNNNNNNNNNNNNNNNNNNAGCCUCCCACUUGGGGCCUUAGCUGCAGUCCAGUACUCGCCUAAGUAUUUGAAAAUCCUACUGAGUGGAGAGCAAACCUCCCACUCGGAGGCUUAGCUGUAGUCUAGUACUCGCCUAAGUAUUUGAAAAUCCUAUCGAGUGGAGAGCAAACCUCCCACUCGGAGGCUUAGCUGCAGUUCGGUACUCGCCUAAGUAUUUGAAAAUCCUAUCGAGUGGAGAGCAAACCUCCCACUCGGAGGCUUAGCUGCAGUCUAGUACUCGCCUAAGUAUUUAAUCCAUUCCGAUCCGCAAGGAGGACGAGGUGUAGGUCGACUGCUACCUUCUCCUUCGGAGCUACGCCACAAAUACAACGUGCGCUCUGCAAGGAUGACGAGGUGUAGGCCGACUGCUACCUUCUCCUUCGGAGCUACGCCACAAAUACAACAUGCGCUCUGUAAGGACGACGAGAUGCAGGUCGACUGCUACCUUCCCCUUCUGAGCUACACCACAAAUACAAUGUGCACUCCAUCCUGAUCCGGAAGGACGCAGGCCGACUGCAAUCUGCACUCCAUCCCUACCUGCAAAAGCGAUGAAGCGCAGGUCGACUGGACUUUCCACCUCAGAGCUUCGUCUCAAGCACUAAAGUAUAUUCCGAGUGAAGAACAAAGUUUGCUCGAUAAACCAAUUUUGCAAGCAUAUUCAACGAUAAACCAAGUUCAGAUAACGUCCUACAGAUUCGGAAGUACUCAGGCGUCAAGCCUGUAAAAGUUUAUCGGUUACAAAACCACUCAGCAUUCCAAGGCAAAUUUAAAGCAUAGAAGUUUUUUUACUCCUCAGGUGGAGGACUGGAAGGCGCGACAAACUGGUUCAGGUCGAUCCCGUCAGCAAUCCGAGUGGCAGCAACAAUGAAGGUCUCCAUGAAAGACUGGAAAUCGUGCUUCUUGGUAUUGGCCACUUUGAUGGACGCCAGCUUGUCCUCUCGCGCAUCCUUGCAGUGAACGCGGACCAGGGACAGAGCAACGUCAGCACCACACCUGGCAGAAGACUUUUUCCAUUCUUGCACUCGACCUGGAACAUCAUUCAGUCGAGUCAUUAGAGACUCGAGGUCAUUUUGGAGCGUCUCUCCCGGCCAGAGUGUUGUGUCGAUUCGCGACACCGCAACCUUCAGUCGAGCAAGGUAGUCAACAACUCCAGCAACGCGAGACUCCAGUCGGAGCACGUUCAUAGCGGCUUCAUCCUUCACAGGAGAGUUAAUGGGGUCCAAGCUUGUCUCCACUCGACUGGUUUCCUCCUCGAAGUUUUGGCAGAAUUCUGUAAACACAAUUUGAAGUUAAGCCAACAGUUCUAUGAUGAGUCGAUGACAACAAGUCAGUCGGAUAAAAGAGAUUACCUUCAAGCAUGAUGAAUAACUUCUUGGCGAGCCCCCCCCCCCAGAUAAGCCUCUAGAUCGUUCUUCUUCCCCGCCAGUUCGCUACCUUGUCACUCAGAGCUAUCUUAUCAUUCUUCAGACGGCUGACUUCCUUGUUGGCCGCGUCGAGAGCAACUUUUAGAUUGGUGUUCUCCUCUUCAAGUUUUCCGACUGAAGCUAGUUUUUCUUCCGCAAGCUUCGUUUUGUCCAAAGCCGCCUUCUGCGCCUCGGCGAGGUCAUGGUCCUUCUUCUUCAGAGCCUCAUUCAGUUUAUCUGCAAAGUGACAAUGAGAUCAGAAUCAGGAAUGGACAGAAAGAUAAAGACAGUCAUCAAGAUUCUCACCAAACAUACCUUUUGCUUCAUCCUUUGCCUUCGUAAAGUUCUCCUAAACAAGCUUCAAGUCAAGGUCGAGCUGGAUAUGCUUGUUUUCCAGUUCAGUAUAACGAGCCACGAGCUUGCAAGAUUUCUGCAAAGGGUCAGUCGACAGACAUCAAAGAUAGGUUGCUUCUGAGUGACUAAGAAAGAAUCAAAAUAUUCAACAGCAGUCUCGGGGACUACACCCAGUGGGUGCACUCUGCGUGCCCCCACUGGUUCUACCGACUCGGUCCGAUCAGUCGGCCGAAAGAGACAAAGAGGUUAUGAUCUUAAAACUAUAGCACUAUAGCUAACUGCCAGCAGUCAGCCAUGGUCUCAUAAAAAACAGGUUCUUCAGACCUUAGUCGACUGCCAGCAAUCAUCCAUGGUCUCGGGGACUACACCCAGUGGGUGCACUCAGCGUGGCAUCCUCGACCUCCUCCGGGUGGAUCCGAGCGGUGUCCUCAGUACCAGAAUACAACCACAUCGGAUGGUCUCGAUCUUGAAGCGGCUGGAUGCGUCCUCGGAGGAAGACCUCCAAGAGGUCCAUACCGGUCACUCCGUCACGGAUAAGCUGGACCACACGUUCGACCAACACCUUAACCUGCGCCUUCUCUUCCAGGAUCACCUUCAAAGAAGAAGGCUUGCUCACUCGGUCCAUGGAAAAAGGAGGGAGUCCAGUCAACUGCCCUGGCGUUGGCUGGUCCUUGCAGUAGAACCAGGUCGACUGCCAUCCACGGACCGACUCGGGUAGGAUCAUGGCCGGAAAAGAACUUUUUCCCCUCAUUUGAACCCCAAGACCCCCACACAUCUGAAUCACUUGUGUUCUCUCAUCACUCGGAUUGGCCUUUUUCACCACCUGGGAGCGACAGGUGAAAAUGUGCUUGAAAAGACCCCAAUGAGGCCAACAACCCAAGAAAUUCUCGCACAAAGAACAUGAAAGCAGCGAGGUACACGAUAGAGUUGGGUGUGAAGUGGUGGAGUUGCGCCCCAAAGAAAUUCAGAAAUCCCCGAAAGAAAGGGUGAGGCGGCAAAGAAAACCCACGGUCGACAUGGGUGGCCAAGAGGACACACUCACCCUCCUGAGGCUGCGGCUCCGACUCCUUCCCCGGGAGCCGCGCCGAUCCGUGGGGGAUCAGUCCUUCAUUGGCCAGGCCGUCAAGAUCUUUUUGACGGAUCGUCGAGCGGAUCCAGUCGCCCUGGAUCCAGCCCUGCGGCAGGCCGACCCUUGAUGAAGAUCCGCCCCGACUGGUCGCCCUUCCCUUCGCCUUCGCCGUCGCAUUCUUCGCCCGCUCCAAGGCCGCCGUCUUCUCCUUCACCAUCGUUGCCGGCGAAACGCGCACGGAGCAGCGGCGCUGAGAUGGAAGCGAACGCGGCAGAUAAGUCUAAGGAAGAGGGGAGGAAAUGAGAGCGCACUGUUCACAAACCCCCGUCCGGCGCCUUAUAUGAGGUUACUUCCGAGUGUCUGACUUGUAGGCCCGGGCGAUCCCGUCAAAUCCCGCAACAGUCGCGCGCACGAUACGUGGCGAAAAAGGUGGCGCGGAGAUCGAGGCAUUCCUGCCUUAUCCCAUCUAAUUACCGCGGCCUCCUCCGCCCCGCGCGCUUCCCAAAAUUUGAAUCCCGCUAAAUCCGCGGGCUGCAGAGCAACUUGUCAGACGGGAGAUUUCCUCCGUUCUAUCGUUCGGAGUUCUCCAAAUAAGGAAGUUCACUCGACGGAUACAAAGAAUGGAUCAAGGCGACUAAAAAAGAAGUUAAUGUCGUCACCUGAGUUCACUGAUCCAGAACAAGACAUACUCAUUGCACGAAAAUGGGUCGGAAGUGUGUUCAACUCCUUCCCCACUCAAACCUCGAUCAUUCGGGGGCUAAUGAUGAAGCCAUGUACCUAGGGUAGGGUCAUGGACCUGUCCAAGAUACCCUCCCCAAGGACAUCUCUAGAAGAAACCACCUUUCAGUCGACCUGGAAGGGUUCCACUCGACGAACUCGAAGACACUCGACCAUGAAGCCAACCACUCGACUGCCAGGAAACCUAAAGUCAAUCUGCACACAAACGGUCUGUCAUUAAGUAGCUUUUAUGGUCAUCAUAGCACUUUAUUUGUGGCGUUACCAGUAACGCCCGACCUUAAUGUACCUUAAACCCUGCAUAACUGAGAGCCGGAGGGGUCUGGCGGACUCUAUAUAAGCCACCCCCUCCUCAGUGUAAGGGGUUCGCACCCCUGUAACUCAUACGCAUAUAAUCCAGUCGACCGCCUCCGGGUUCCGAGACGUAGGGCUGUUACUUCCUCCGAGAAGGGCCUGAACUCGUAAACAUCUUGCGUAUACAACUACUCCAUAGCUAGGAUCUCGCCUCUUCAUACCUACCCCCCUAUUCUACUGUCAGACUUAGAACCAUGACACCCCUCCCUUACCGGAGCUGGAAAAACCUUGUUGUAGUAGACAGUCCGGAAGUCGUCGCGGUAAGGCCCCAUAGGACCAACGCACCAGAGUAGCAAUCAUCACCGAUGAAGAAAGUCGUAAAUCAGAAGGAUCAAACAUGUAAACACCCAAACAAGGACGAACGAAGAACGGAUCCAACAGAUCCACCGAAGACCAGCACCGAACGAAUCCUGCGGGAUCUGACGGAAACAAACCUCCACACACCCUCCGAUGAUGCUAGAUGCACCAUCAGAAUGGGGAUAGAAUGUGGGAGACGUUAUUUCUACUAAGGGGCAUCGCCGCCACCACACAGUGAAUCUAACAAGAACGAGAACGGGGUCCCUCCCACCGGCGAGGGAUCGAGAUCAUCCAUACCUCCAUGGCCUAUAGGCCAUCGAAGAUGGGGCGGACCGGCGGCGGCGCUAACGGGAGGAGAAGAGCUUUUCUUGUGGAGGAGGAAAAAGAUAUGCAUAGAUAACUAUCAAAUUUUUAUGGUAAUUAUAACUAGCAAACGUCCGCUGUAGGGGAGAUGGCAAACGAACCAUUUUUGAUGACAACUUCAAUUGUGAAACGAGAUCAAACGACGAUGUAUUUAAAACAAAAAUUGCCUUCUCAGGGAAAAAAAUGCCAUAUCACCUGAAGAAAUUGCCACCUUUACCAAUGCCGCACAACUAAAAAUGUCAUACGAGCAUUCGCAAAUGCCACCCUACCUGGCUAACAUUCGCGAGAUAAGGGUUCCUUUUCUUAAAACACACACACACACUUACCCCUAUAAAUGCACGUACGCAUACUCUAUUCCUAUGAGCACCUCCAAGAAAUUAAGCCGACAUAUCAUCUUAAAAAUGACGAAGUAGCCUCAUACGUCUAUGUAGUCUACUGGAACCUCUUCUAUCACUGAACGCACAUCAUAAGAUCUGAAAUAAAUUCAGAAAAAUGUUAGCACUAAUGUCAAAUCUAGGAUUUAAACUUUGAUAACUUAUAAGCCACCGUCCUACUAACCAUUCAACCACAAGUUGGUUCGUGACGAACUAUUAUGUUUACUUAUGUCAAGAUGUGCUAUAAACAAAACAGGGCUGAAUAAUUCAAAAAUUUGCAAGGGUAUGCACCUACCGAAGUGCCUACAACCGUCUAUCUACGCGGUGAUCCGGGCACAUGUUUCCACGGAAAUUGGUUGAAAACUGGAUGGAUAUUCUUUAACUGCCUGAAUACGAGCAAGUAUACGUGUUUAUUCUAUGCAAUACUUUGGCGAGCCCUUCUUAUACAUCUUUCUAUCUGUGUGUAUGCUACGUCUCCCAUUCCGUUACAUACUCUUUUUUUUUGCGAGAGAUUACAUACUCUUUUCCACGAGUUGCAUGCACUAUUCUUCUUCUUCUUCUUCAUUCGUCCCUGUCGUGUUCUGCUCUUAUGUUCAAGUUUUGUUUCCUUCUCUUUUUUAUAUAUUGGAAAAAGUCUAAAAUAAACCUUUAGUUCGUACUCGUAGUCUGAAUUGGACCUUGAACUUAAAAUCCCUGAAAUUAGCACACUAUACUCUUUAAUCCCGGUCUAUCCUGGAUGAUUUUCGCUAGCUGAUUGUUUGACGCAGCGAGAAAAGACGAUUCCGACCAGGAUCACAUACUUUGGCGAGCCCUUCUUAUACAUCUUUCUAUCUGUGUGUAUGCUACGUCUCCCAUUACGUCUCCCUAAUGGAUGCGCGUCGUCGUCCCGUCGCUAUAUUACACGCAUGAACAAGCUUGUGCUGUUGUGUGGCGUGUGCCGUGUGCUACUUGCUGCUGCACGCAUUUCAGAGAGAGACAUAGAAAAAGAGGAGGAGGAUUAUGACGCAUGGGCCCUUGUAAUCUGUAAGAGUAGUGUGUGAUCCUGGUACCGGGAGAUGAGCAGCAGCCGCACGACGGCACGAGGAUGUUAGCGAGUGCACCGGCUGCCGCUGACGGCCCACAGUGGGAGGCCGGUCGUGGCCGUGCUCUGUUGCGUGGCACAAGCGAGCUUGAAGCGGUCAUGUGAUGUCCCCGGCGUGCGACCUCGGAGAAGACGUGGGCGAGACGAUGCACAACUGUCCGGGAGGUGGGCAUCAAUCACACGAGUGUUGGCUUUUGAUGCCUAGAUCAAAUCACCCAGGAACUAUGCACGCGAAGUGCAAAGCUAGCUAGACAAGCUUGAUUGAUUCUCGAGCAACACGCACGUAAAUGUAGACGUAUACAUUGAACUUGACCUAGCCGGCGGCCUCGGUGGAACGUCUGGACGUAACUUUAGCAAUCGGAAAAACUGAUCGGGACGAGACUGAUUUGGUGACACGGUUGGUGAUGGCUCCAACGGCUCCUGUACGGACCGCCCCCGCGGGCGGAUCUGGUGCUCGGGACGGCGAUGCCGCGCCCGGCCCUGCUGCCGGCCCAGGCGAUCGGGCGGCGACGGGAGAGGGGUCGGCGGUGGCCGCGGUGGUGUCCAGGCGAGCGGCCGUGCCCGCCUCAGGCGCGACUGGGUGGUCGGGGAGUAGGUUUUGGGCGUUGACCGAUGAGGUUUCCGACUGUGAAGAGGAGGCGGAGGAGGGCGCGGCGACGGGGUCAACGGAUGGCGGCCGCUCGGCGUGCUUCUUCGGCGACUUCAUCGCGCGCGCGGAGGAGCUUGGGGGCUCCUUCAAGGCCGGGCGCCGGCGCGCGUUUGCGCCCGGGGGCCGUGGCUCGAGGCGGCCGGCUUCCGUCGCGAGCAGGGGACCGCGUGCAUCUCCAAGCCGUUCGGGGCGGGGCAGCACGGGCUUCGCAGACGCGGGUCUGCGCCUGCAGCCAACUCCGGCCCAACUUCGGUCAGUGCAGCCGGCACCCGUGUCGGCGGCGGCGACGACGGAUCCGGGCGUCGGGAGUCCUAGGGUUGGGGGCGACUUGCCAGGGGCGGUGCUGGGCCAGGCCCUCGGGGUGCCUGGCGGCCCAUCCGCGCGCUUGGCCUGCGUGUCGGUCCCGAUUGGCGCUGUCUCAGUUGUGCAGGGGGCCCACCUUGCGGCCCAGCCUGGCCCACUGGAGGCAGCCCAGCCCACUCCUGCCCGAGUCGCCCAGCCAUAUAAAUGGCUCUGGUUGCCCCGCAGAACCCUAGAUCCAGCUCUAGGUUUCCCAGCCACCGUUUCGGACGUGCGGCGUUUCGGCCACGCCGCCCGGUUCCUCUUCCCCACCCCAGCCCCCCCGCCUCUGCUGCGCUCCUUCGUGGAGGUGGUGUCAAUGGGGUCCAAGCCCGACCGCCGGAGCGAGAAGCCGCCCAUGGAGCCACCGCGGGACCGCAACCGCGACCGCGUCAACAAAGACGGCGGUUGGGGACCGCCGCCCGCGUGGUGGCUCAAGGAGCAGGAGAGAAAGAAGAAGCACAAGGAGGAGUACAAGAAGAAGGGGCUCGAGCUCAAGCGCAAGGAGCAUCUGGCCUCCCAGGGCGGCGACCGCGCCGGCGAUCUGCUUGCGAAGAAGCCGAAGCUCAAGUCUGUGGGGGCGGCGGCCUCCUCGCUGCCCCUCCCGCCCAGAUCCGAGAUGCCUGGCUCCUCCAAGGGCACGGAGGAGGCGCCGAUCCCGGUCGAAGACGCCGACGGCCCCGAGUGCUUCAAGUGUGGCCGCUCCGGCCACUACCAGAACUCGUGCUCUUUCCAGCCGCUCUGUGUGGUGUGCAGCAAGGAGGGGCACACCUCGGUGCAGUGCCCAACCCGUGGCAAGCCGCUGAUCCUGCAAACGAUGCGGCACGCAAUCUCCGGCGAGGGAUUCUUCUGUCUUCAGUUCCCGGAGGACGUGCGGGAGGCGCCUCCAGUUCUGCUGGGGGCCAACGCGGCGGUACUCUCCAUGCCUUCCGGUGCGCUCUCGCAGGAGAUCUUGGAGAGGGAGUUGCAGCAUCUCUUUGAGAGCACAUGGGACUGGCAGAUUGCCCCCCUUGAGGGUGGCGCAUUCUCGGUGGUGUUUCCGGACCCUGCAAUGCUGCGGAUGGCUACAAGAAGCGGCAAGCUCUUCCUGUCACUCAACAACCUCAUGGUGGACAUUCGCGAUGCGAUCCUUGAUGCUCCCAAAAGUCUGGAGAUGCCGGAGGUGUGGGUCAAGCUGGGUGGCGUCCCUCCAAAGCAUCAGCGCCCCGAACGGCUCAUGGCGGCCACCAUCAUGCUCGGCCGCCCCCUGCAGGUUGAUGAGGAGUCGCUGAUCCGGCCCUGGCCAGUGCGCAUGCGCUUUGCCUGCCGCAAUCCUCACAAGCUGCGUGGGAUGGUCCAAAUCUGGUUCAACAGCGACGGCUACAACAUCUCCAUCGAGCCCGAGCUCCCCCCGGCGCAACUGGCGGCGCCCGCUCUCCCUUCUCCUCCCCCUCCUCCUCAUGGCAAGGGUCCGGAUGGGCCGGGGCGAGGCGGAGGCCAAGACGAUGUCCAAGAGCACGACGCUAGCAUGGAUGACGACUCUAUUGACACGGCGGCAUGGGAGAAGCUGGGCAUCACCGAGCAAGGCGGUGCGAUGGCCCGUGCGCUGCAGCCUAGGGCGGAGCCAUCCCUGGCUGGUGGAUCAUCGGAGAUGGACCUCUCCAUUCCAAACCAGUACGGCUCCAACCUGGGUUCGGUCACGUAGCCUCCGGUGCGGCUGGAGGCAGUGGUGGCCACCUCACAGCUGGCGGAGCCGCAGGAUGAGGUGCGCACCCCCAUCGCGGUGUCGGUGGACUCGCUGCCUCGCCACUCGCUCUCUCCAGCGCAAGGUGGUCGCGGCAGCGGCAAGCUCGGCGUGGUGAAGCAGCUCAAGAAGGUGGCGGUGCGCAAGGUGUGUGCGGAGGCGGGGAGUGCUGCGGAGAUCUUUGGGGCUCCGGCGACGCCGUGCCAGGCGGUGAUGGCCCUGGCGGCCCCGGCCCCCGCUCCGCUCGCGCAGGUGAUGUCCCAAUCGGCGCCGAUCCCCAAGGCCAAGCUCUCCAAGGCUGUGGUGGAGGGACAGGUGCCUCCCCUGCGGGUUAGUGCGCGCGCCAAGGGUGCCAAAGGCAACCUUCUUUCGCUCCAGCGCGCUCAACUCCUGCAAGCUCAGAAGAACUUGGAAACCUCAGGUAACCCCUUGCCGUGUUUUAUGAUUCUUGAUUCAUUUUCGGACAAACAUAUGGGUGAGGUUUUGGGGGAGAGCAGGGUGUAACUGAUGGGCGAUGGUGGGGUGACCGAGCUCAUCUCGUUGAUUCGCGCUAAGGAGCAGGCGCAGGCAGCGCUGGCAGCGGUGGCUGCUCAACACGCGGAACGCUUGGCACUGGAGGCUGAGCCCUCGUAGGUGCCAGCGAUCCAGCCCGAAGGGGAUAUGGCAACAUGGGUUGCUAUUCCCCCCUCGCCUCACUGCGGCAAGGUGAGGCGCGUGUCCAAGGCGAUCACCUCCAGGGGGGUGCGCCUUCGGAAUCGUGUUCAUUUGGAACAUUCGUGGCUUCGGUCACGCGGGUCGACGCACCCAAUUGAAGGAGUACAUUAGGAAGGAGUCGGUUGAUAUCGUAGGGGUUCAGGAAACGAUCAAAUCAGAACUACGGCAUCAGGACAUCCUAACGAUUGACCCCUUAGAGCGCUUUGUCUGGCACCAUAGCCCAGCGCACGGCCACUCCGGUGGCAUGCUGCUAGGAUUUUGUGGUGCCACUUAUGAAGUACUGACCUGGGAGGUUGGUACCUUCUUUCUUGCGGCCAGAAUCCGCGUGCGAGCGUCGCUUAGAGAGCUCGCGACCGUGCAAGUCUACGGACCAGCCGAUCAUUCCCAUUCGGCAGAGUUCUUGGGAGAAUUGGAAGCCAAGGUGCUGGAUCUUACUGCUGCACAGAUCCCGCUCAUGGUGGGAGGUGAUUUUAACCUGAUUCGCUCGGGCGCAGACAAAAACAAUGACAACAUUAACUGGUCAAGGGUGGCCAUGUUCAACAAUGCGAUUGCGUCUAUGGCACAUAGGGAAGUGGCUAGAACUGGGGCGAGAUUUACUUGGACUAACAAGCAACUCGCCCCGGUGCAAUCCGUCCUGGAUCGUGCCUUCAUGUCUCAGGACUGGGAAGUGGUGUUCCCACUGUGCUCGCUCCUUGCUGAAACAAGGAUCGGGUCAGACCAUGUACCCCUCAUUCUAUCUUCUGGGGAAGAUAGAAUCCACCUUAGCCCGCAUUUCUUUUUCGAAACUGCGUGGUUUGAGGUCCCUGAGUUUGAUGCCAUCUUUAGGGAGAGAUGGCUGAGGUGUGUGUCGUGGUUCUAAGCCUGACAGUAGAGUGGGGGGUAGGUAUGGAGAGGCAAGGUCCUAGCUAUGGAGAGGUUGUAAGCACAAAGGAUGUACGAGUUCAGGCCCUUCUCGGAAGAAGUAACAGCCCUACGUCUCGGAGCCCGGAGGCGGUCGAGUGGAUUAUGAAUGUAUGGAUUACAAGGUGCCGAACCCCUCUGCCUGUGGAGGGGGGUGGCUUAUAUAGAGUGCGCCAGGACCCCAGCCAGCCCACGUAGGAGAGGGUUUAAGGUGAGUUAAGUCUGGGGCGUUACUGGUAACACCCCACAUAAAGUGCCUUUACUAUCAUAAAGUCUACUUAAUUACAGGCCGUUGCGGUGCAGAGUGCCUCUUGACCUCCUGGUGGUCGAGUGAGUCUUCGUGGUCGAGUCCUUCAGGCCAGUCGAGUGAAUCCUCGUUGGUCGACUGGAAGGCGACCUCUUCUAGGGAUGUCCUAGGGUAAGUUACUUGGAACAGGUCCAUGACCCUACCCUAGGUACAUAACCCCAUCAUUAGCCCCCGAAUGGAUUGAGGCUUCGAGUGAAGAAGGAGUUGAUGUCGUUUCCGAUUAACCUUUGCGCUCUAGUUGUGCGCUGUUCUGGAUCAAAGAAUCUCUUCGUUGACAGGGAGCAAUUUGUCUUCGGUCGACUCGAUCCAUUCUAUUUUUGCGUCGAGUGAUCUUUCGAGCUUCGACGAUCUCCGAGCGACGCAUCGCCGGAAACACCGCGUCUGACAGACUGAUUUGUUGCUCGCGGAUUCCGCGGGGUGCGAAAUUUGGGGGCGCGCGCGAAGCGGGGCAGACCGCGGCGUUCGGAUGGGACGGGGCAUAGACGCCUCGAUCUCCGCGCCGCCUUUUUCGCCACGUAUCCAGUCCUCAUAACUGCUCCCAGAUAUGAUUAGAUCGACCGGGCCCACAUGUCAGCCACUCGGAAGGGACCUUAUAAAUGUGCCCGGCGAGGAUUUCUGUGCUGCGCCUCAGCAUUCUCCCUCUCUCCCUCUGCUUCCUUCCUCCCUGCUCAGCGUGCUCGCUCUCGCCCCCGCACCACUUCCCUUCGUGCAUCUCACCGGCGACCAUGGCCAAGGAGAAGACGGCGGCGCUGGAGCGUGCCAAGAAGGCGUCGGCAUCGGAGAAGGCGAAGGGGAGAUCCACCAGCCGCAGAGGGUCCUCAUCCAGAUCCCGCCUGCCGAAAGGCUGGGUCCAAGGAGACUGGAUCCAGUCGACCAUCACGGAGAAGGACCUCCUCGACAUGGCCAACGAGGGCUUGAUCCCUCACGGAGCUGCGAGGUUGCCGGGGAAGGAGUGGCAGCCACAGCCAGAAGAGGGUGAGUGUGUGCUUCUGGCCACUCAUGUUGAUCGUGGGUUUUCCUUGCCGCCAAGCAUUUUCUUCCGUGGCUUCUUGAAUUUCUUUGGAGCGCAGCUCCACCACUUUACCCCAAACUCCAUUGCCUAUCUUGCUGCAUUCGUGUCCAUGUGUGAGGGUUUCUUGGGCUGUCGACCGCACUGGGGUUUGUUCAAACGUAUCUUCACGUGUCGCUCUCAGACCGUGAAGAAGGCGAGCCCAGGUGAUGAGAAGACCCGCGUCGUCCAAAUGUGUGGGGGCCUGGGGAUUCAGGUGAGGAAUAAUAGCACCUUCCCGCCCAUGUCCUUUCCCGAGUCCGUCAGAGGCUGGCAGUCGACUUGGUUCUACUGUCAGGUCCAGUCGACGCCAGGGCAGUCGAGUGGACUCCCUCCGUUUACCAUGGACCGAGUGAACAAGCCCUCCCCUCUGAAGCUGAUUCCGGAGGAGAAAGCCGACGUGAAGAUGUUGAUGGAGCGCGUGGUGCAGUUGGUUCGGGAGGGGGUGACGGGCAUGGAUCUUCUGGAGGUCUUCCUCAGGCGUCGCAUCCAACCCCUUCAAUUCCGGAGCCACUGCAUGUGGUGGUACUGUGGGCCCGAAGACGAGACUAGAGUCCAUCCAGAAGAAGUCGACGACGCCACUCUGGAAAGAUGGAUGGUAGCCGUUACCGGAAACAGGGACAACCCGCGCGGAGCCAGAAUGAUUCCUCCACUCGACCACAACAGCGACCCAAACAAGGUACACUUGCUCUGCUUUCCAUUGUGUCCUUGUCGUAUUCAUUUCUGCUAACCCUGCCGACUGGUCGACUGAUCCUUGUUUGGGCAUCUGCUAGGCCUUCACCGAGCUGUACUCGAUGCCCAAUGGGGCACAAGCUUCGACUGAGGAAGGCGAGGCGAGCGGGGGCGAGGCGAGCGGGGGCGAGAGCCAGGAAGAGGAGGAAUGGGACUCGGAUGCUGCAGGGGAUGAUGACGACGAUGAUGAUGAUGAAGGUGAUGAAGAUGACAUCGAGGACGAGGAAGAAGAGGAGGAGGAGGUCGUUCCACCGCGCUCAGAAAGGCGGUCGAAGCUUGUCCACGACCCUUCGACCGAACGUGGUAAGGGGGUUGCGACCGCCACUCAGUCGACCAAGCGCCCUCGGACCACCUCUCCAGCGCCGACUGAAAAGGCGCCGAAGCAGCCCAGGGCGGCCUCAUCGAAGCCGACCAAGCUCCUGCCGAAGAUGAAGGUGUCCAUCCCCACCAUAUCAGGGUAAUUGUGUUGCUCAUAUUUUCUUAUUCUGUGUGAACUUUAUCUCUGGUCGACGCUGAGGUUAGUCGACUGAUCCUUUGGAGUUGCAGUGCUGCUACUUCUGAGACCUCGGCCCGGGCCGAUGACCACGAGAUGGAGGAUGCAGCAACUUCGAAUCCAGGUACUGUGUUCUUAAUACCAUUCUUAGUCGACUGACUCGCGAUCUCUGAUCCUGAUCCUUCUCCGCAGCUCCACCCAACACUGUUAUCGAUCUUCCUGAUGAUGAUGAGGAUGAAGAGCCGCUGAAGCACAGGAGGAGUCGGAAAGCGUCCGCCAGUAAGGUGCCUCAGGAUGUGCCGGCGCCUGAAAUUCUGACUGUGGAGGAAGAGAACACCACUCGACACACGGUGACCUUCGCGAAUCCACUGACGAGUGCUCAGCAGCCUUCCCUCUUCAUGACGCACCACGUCCCAGAGGACCAAGCUGGCGCAGCGAAGGAGGCGAUACGCCAGGCGGGACUCAUGAUGGAGCAGCUGAAGACCAUCCGGGACGCAAGCCAGGCAGCUUAUGACGCCAGUUCUGCCCUCCAAAGCAAUGUCCAGGUCAGUCGACCGCUGUUUGUUCUGUUGGAUAUGCUACCAAAAACUUUUCUUUUCCGGAAUUUAUAUUAGUCACCCACUGGGUGUGUCGAAUAAACUCCGUGUUAGCGGGGGCACGCUGAGUGCACCCGCUGGGUGUAGUCCCCAAGGCUAAGGUCGACUGCUGGCAGUCGGCCUUAGGCUUUAUGAUGUCAAUCUUUCUGUCAGUCGACUGGUCGACUGGAUUUCGCAAACCGGUGGGGGCACGCUGAGUGCACCCACUGGGUGUAGUCCCCAAGGCUAAGGUCGACUGCUGGCAGUCGGCCUUAGGCUUUAUGAUGUCAAUCUUUCUGUCAGUCGACUGGUCGACUGGAUUUCACAAACCGGUGGGGGCACGCUGAGUGCACCCACUGGGUGUAGUCCCCGAGACUGUGGUCGACUGCUUGCAGUUGAUCACAGUCUUAGAGAAUGCGUCUCGCACACUGUUUUUUUUUGAGGUCGACUGGUCGACUUUGUCUUCAACAGGAUUAGUGGGGGCACGCUGAGUGCACCCACUGGGUGUAGUCCCCGAGACUACGGUCGAAUGCUUGUAUUCGGCUGUAGUCUCAGAAACGUGUGUUUUUCCCUUUUUCACUCGGAAGUGAGUUACAUUUGACGUUUAGUUGAUUGGUUCUUCGCAGAACUCUUGUGAUCUUGUGGCUCGCUACUCAGAGCUGGAACAAAAACAUACUCAAGUCGAGCUGAGCUUGAAGCUGGUUCAGGAGAAGCUGACAAAGGCAAAGGAGGAGACCGAAGGUAUGUUUGGUGAGACCCUGACGACUGCUUUUCCCCUUGCUUGUUUCGGCAUCUGAUCUCGCUGUAACUUGCAGGUAAGGUAAGGGAGGCCCAGCAGAAGAAAGACCUUGAGCUAGCUGAGAAGAUCAAGCUUGCUGACGAGAAGUUAGCUUCAGUCACCAAGCUCGAACAAGACAAUACCAAUCUGAAAACUGCUCUUGGGAUUGCCAACAAGGAAGUCAGUCGACUGAGAACUGACAAAGCUGCCUUGACCGACCAAGUCAGCAAAUUGACUGAGAAGAAAAUUGAACUGGAGGCCUUCCUGAGUGGCCUUGCCAAGAAGCUGUUUCUGAUGCUUGAAGGUAAACCUCCAUGUUUGGCAAAUAUUUCCAACUGUGGCUUCUUCCAUUCGACUAUCCCCUUGACUUAGUGACCACCCUUGCAGAAUUUUGUCAAAACUUUGAAGAGGAAACCAGCCGACUGGAGCCAAACCUUGACCCCGUCAAUUCUCCGGUGAACGACGAAGUUGCCAUGGAUGUUUUCCGACUGGAGUCUCGUGUCGCAGCUGUCGUGGACUAUCUCGCAAGGCUGAAGGCCGCCACAUCUCGCAUCGACUCGACGCUCUGGCCUGAGGAGACACUUCAGAAUGACCUUGAGUCGCUGAUGGCCCGCUUGAACACGAUCCCUGGUUGAGUGCAGGAGUGGAAGAAGUCCUCGGCUCGGUGUGGUGCAGAUGUCGCUCUGUGUCUGGCCCGAGUCCACUGCAAAGAUGCACGAGAGGAGAAGCUGGCGGCCCUUCGGGUGGCCAAUACCAAGAAGCACGACUUUAGGUCCUUUAUGGAGACUUUCCUUGCAGCUGCCACUCGGAUCGCCGACGGAAUUGACCUUGAUGAAUUUGUUGCACCUUCCAGCCCUCCACAGGAGGGGUAAAAAACUUCUUCUGGCUCGACACUUUAAAUUUGCCUCGGUAUGCCGAGUGGAAUUGUAACCGACAAACCUUAACAGGCUUGACGCCCGAGCACUUUCGGUUCCUUUAGAUAUCGAUUCAAACUUGAAUUUGGCGCUUGAAUAUGAUUGCCUUCGGCUCGGAAUGUCUUUUGCAGGUUCAAAGCAAGGUGCCUGUACCGCAAUCGACUUAUUCUUUAGUCCACUUAGGCGAGCACUGGGCUGCAGCUAAGCCUCCGAGUGAGAGGGUCGCUCUUCACUCGGUAGGAUUUUUGUAACUUAGGCGAGCGCAGGGCUGCAGCUAAGCCCCCGAGUGAGAGGGUUGCUCUCCACUCGGUAAGAUUUUUAUAACUUAGGCGAGCACGACGCUGCAGCUAAGCCUCCGAGUGGAAGGCUGGCUUACCACUCGGUAGGAUUUUGAUAACUUAGGCGAGCACGAGGCUGCAGCUAAGCCCCCGAGUGAGAGGAUCGCUCUUCACUCGGUAGGAUUUUCACAACUUAGGCGAGUGCUUGGACUGCAGCUAAGCCCCCGAGUGAGAGGGUUGCUCUUCACUCGGUAGGAUUUUUAUAACUUAGGCGAGCACGAGGCUGCAGCUAAGCCUCCGAGUGAGAGGGUUGCUCUUCACUCGGUAGGAUUUUUAUAACUUAGGCGAGCCCUUGGACUGCAGCUAAGCCCCCGAGUGGAAGGCUGGCUUACCACUCGGUAGGAUUUUCACAACUUAGGCGAGUGCUUGGACUGCAGCUAAGCCCCCGAGUGAAAGGCUGGCUUACCACUCGGUAGGAUUUUGAUAAACUUAGGCGAGUGCUUGGACUGCAGCUAAGCCCCCGAGUGGAAGGCUGGCUUACCACUCGGUAGGAUUUUGAUAAACUUAGGCGAGUCCUUGGACUGCAGCUAAGCCCCCGAGUGGAAGGCUGGCUUACCACUCGGUAGGAUUUUGACAAACUUAGGCGAAACGGAUUCGCAGCUAAGCCUCCGAGUGAGAGUCUGGCUCACCACUCGAUAGGAUUUUUACAAACUUAGGCGAAACGGAUUCGCGGCUAAGCCACCCACUGAGGGGGAGUUUUUAUGUGGACAAAAAUAAAAAGUGAUGACACAAUUAUUUCUAAACCCAUGAACUACAGAAGUACUUUAUUGCAACUCAUCCGAGUGAUAAAACUUAAGUGUAAAAUGGGCGGAGUAGCUCCGCGUUCCAAGCUCGGGGCUCGUCGAUAUUAUGCUCGACGUUGUAAAGACGGUACGCCCCGUUGUGGAGAACCUUGGUGACGAUGAAGGGACCUUCCCAAGAAGGAGCAAGCUUGUGUGGUUUGUGCUGAUCCACUCGGAGAACCAAAUCCCCUUCCUGGAAGGCUCGACCUCUCACAUUUCGGGCGUGGAAACGGCGCAGAUCUUGUUGGUAGAUGGUCGACCGGAUCAGAGCCAUCUCCCUUUCUUCCUCUAAAAGGUCGACUGCGUCCUGCCGCGCUUGUUCAGCUUCUGCUUCGUUGUAGAUUUCGACUCGAGGAGCAUUGUGGAGAAGAUCACUCGGCAAGACUGCUUCGGCUCCAUAGACCAAGAAGAAUGGAGUUCUUCUGGUCGACCGAUUGGGCGUGGUCCGCAGUCCCCAGAGUACAGAUGGAAGUUCGUCGACCCAAGCUCCAGCCGCGUGUUUGAGAUCACGCAUCAGUCGCGGCUUCAGUCCCUUGAGAAUCAGUCCAUUAGCUCGCUCUGCUUGCCCAUUCGACUGCGGAUGGGCGACUGAUGCGUAGUCGACCCGUGUGCCCUGGGAGUUGCAGAAGGUUCUGAAUUCCUCUGAGUCAAAGUUCGACCCAUUAUCCGUAAUGAUGCUGUGCGGGACUCCAUAUCUGAAUAUUAGUUCCCUGAUGAAGCUAACAGCAGUACCGGUGUCGAGGCUCUUGAUUGGUUUAGCCUCGAUCCACUUGGUGAACUUGUCGACUGCCACCAGUACAUGCGUGAAGCCACUUCGUCCUGUUCUCAAAGGGCCGACCAUGUCCAGCCCCCAAACUGCAAAAGGCCAGACGAGUGGGAUGGUCUUCAAAGCUGACGCAGGUUUGUGCGACAUAUUCGAGUAGAACUGACAUCCCUCGCACUUAUCCACUAUCUCCUUUGCCAUCUCAUUCGCCUUGGGCCAGUAAAAUCCGGCUCGGUAUGCUUUGGCCACGAUGGUCCGGGAGGACGCAUGAUGACCACAGGUCCCCGAGUGAAUAUCAUUGAGGAUGAGUCGACCUUCUUCUGGUGUUAUGCACUUCUGACCGACUCCAGUCGUGCUCUCUCUGUAUAAUUGUCCUUUGAUGACCGUAAAGGCCUUAGAUCGACGGACGAUCUGUCGAGCCUCUUCCUCAUCCUCCGGAAGCUCUUUCCUCAAGAUAUAUGCGACAUACGGAAUCGUCCAGUCGGGAAUGACUAUCAAAACCUCCAUGAUCAAGUCGACCACUGCUGGGACUUCAACCUCAGUCGGAUCUGUGGCACUCUUGGGCUGCGGAGUUUCUUCGGUGAAAGGAUCUUCUUUGACUGACGGAGUAUGUAUAUGCUCCAAGAACACACCACUCGGAAUGGCUUCUCUCUUGGAACCUAUCUUUGCUAGAUCAUCAGCUGCUUGAUUUUUCAGUCGGGGUAUAUGAUGGAGCUCCAACCCCUCGAACUUUUUCUCCAGCUUCCUCACUACACUGCAGUAUCCAGUCAUGGCUGGGCUUCUCACGUCCCACUCUUUCAUCACCUGAUUGACCACUAAAUCCGAGUCGCCAUAGACCAUUAGGCGACGGACGCCGAGUGAAAUGGCCAUGCGCAACCCAUAUAGGAGGGCCUCAUAUUCUGCCUCAUUGUUGGAGGAAUCAAAGUGAAUCUGGAGCACAUAUCUGAGCUUAUCUCCUCUGGGGGAAACCAGGACAACCCCAGCACCGGAACCAUUCAACAUCUUAGAACCAUCAAAAAACAUGGUCCAAUGCUCCGAGUGAACUUCAGUCGGCUGCUGCUGUUCGAUCCACUCGGCGAGGAAAUCUGCUAUUGCCUGGGACUUAAUGGCUUUCUUUGCCUCAAACUUGAUAUCAAGGGGAAGAAGUUCAAUCGCCCAUUUGGCCACUCGACCAGUUGCAUCUCUGUUGUGCAAAAUCUCUGAUAGUGGAGCGUCGCUGACGACUGUGAUUGAAUGGUCAGAGAAAUAAUGAGCAACCUUCUUUGUGGUCAUGUAUAUUCCAUACACAAGCUUCUGAUAAUGAGGAUAUCUCUGCUUGGAUGGAGUCAAGACUUCAGACAAAUAAUACACUGGGCGCUGAACUUUGAGAGCUUUUCCUUCUUCUUCCCGCUCGACCGUUAGCACAGUACUNNNNNNNNNNNNNNNNNNNNNNNNNNNNNNNNNNNNNNNNNNNNNNNNNNNNNNNNNNNNNNNNNNNNNNNNNNNNNNNNNNNNNNNNNNNNNNNNNNNNNNNNNNNNNNNNNNNNNNNNNNNNNNNNNNNNNNNNNNNNNNNNNNNNNNNNNNNNNNNNNNNNNNNNNNNNNNNNNNNNNNNNNNNNNNNNNNNNNNNNNNNNNNNNNNNNNNNNNNNNNNNNNNNNNNNNNNNNNNNNNNNNNNNNNNNNNNNNNNNNNNNNNNNNNNNNNNNNNNNNNNNNNNNNNNNNNNNNNNNNNNNNNNNNNNNNNNNNNNNNNNNNNNNNNNNNNNNNNNNNNNNNNNNNNNNNNNNNNNNNNNNNNNNNNNNNNNNNNNNNNNNNNNNNNNNNNNNNNNNNNNNNNNNNNNNNNNNNNNNNNNNNNNNNNNNNNNNNNNNNNNNNNNNNNNNNNNNNNNNNNNNNNNNNNNNNNNNNNNNNNNNNNNNNNNNNNNNNNNNNNNNNNNNNNNNNNNNNNNNNNNNNNNNNNNNNNNNNNNNNNNNNNNNNNNNNNNNNNNNNNNNNNNNNNNNNNNNNNNNNNNNNNNNNNNNNNNNNNNNNNNNNNNNNNNNNNNNNNNNNNNNNNNNNNNNNNNNNNNNNNNNNNNNNNNNNNNNNNNNNNNNNNNNNNNNNNNNNNNNNNNNNNNNNNNNNNNNNNNNNNNNNNNNNNNNNNNNNNNNNNNNNNNNNNNNNNNNNNNNNNNNNNNNNNNNNNNNNNNNNNNNNNNNNNNNNNNNNNNNNNNNNNNNNNNNNNNNNNNNNNNNNNNNNNNNNNNNNNNNNNNNNNNNNNNNNNNNNNNNNNNNNNNNNNNNNNNNNNNNNNNNNNNNNNNNNNNNNNNNNNNNNNNNNNNNNNNNNNNNNNNNNNNNNNNNNNNNNNNNNNNNNNNNNNNNNNNNNNNNNNNNNNNNNNNNNNNNNNNNNNNNNNNNNNNNNNNNNNNNNNNNNNNNNNNNNNNNNNNNNNNNNNNNNNNNNNNNNNNNNNNNNNNNNNNNNNNNNNNNNNNNNNNNNNNNNNNNNNNNNNNNNNNNNNNNNNNNNNNNNNNNNNNNNNNNNNNNNNNNNNNNNNNNNNNNNNNNNNNNNNNNNNNNNNNNNNNNNNNNNNNNNNNNNNNNNNNNNNNNNNNNNNNNNNNNNNNNNNNNNNNNNNNNNNNNNNNNNNNNNNNNNNNNNNNNNNNNNNNNNNNNNNNNNNNNNNNNNNNNNNNNNNNNNNNNNNNGCAUGUCAGCGGGCUUCCAUGCAAAAAUGUCCCAGUUCUCACGGAGGAACUGGAUGAGCGCUUCUUCCUAUUUUGGGUCGAGUGUUGUGGAGAUGCGGGUCGGAGCUGCUUCGGGGUCGGUCGGGUGAAUGUGAACAGGCUUCGUCUCACCGGACGACUGGAAUGCAGAUUCUGCGGCGGGCUUCUUGGAUCGCAGCAAGUCACUCGGAUCUGCGUUUUGCUUGUAUUCUUCGAACUCGACCGCUGUCACUUGGGAAUCGGCAAUUUUGGAGCCCUUCUGAAAGCACUCCUCUGCCUUUUUCCUAUCACCGGUGACAGUGAUCACACCUUUGGGACCGGGCAUCUUCAAUUUGAGGUACACGUAACAUGGUCGAGCCAUGAACCGUGCAUAGGCUGGUCUCCCCAAAAUGGCAUGAUAUGCACUUUGAAAAUCCACGACCUCAAACGUCAACUUUUCUUUGCGAAAAUGCUUUGAAUCGCCAAACACUACGUCCAAAGCUAUCUGGCCGAGUGACUCGGCCUUCUUCCCUGGUAUAACUCCAUGGAAGCUCAUGUUACUAGUGCUCAGUCGGGAUAUCGGAAUGCCCAUACCUUUCAACGUGUCUGCAUAUAACAGAUUCAGCCCACUUCCACCGUCCAUCAGCACCUUUGUCAGUCGAGUGCCUUCGACAACUGGAUCGACCACCAAAGCUUGCCUCCCAGGGGUGGCAAUAUGAGUCGGGUGAUCAGAUUGGUCGAAUGUGAUGGGUGUUUGAGACCACUUCAGAUAAUUUGCCUUUGCUGGGGCAACCAUGUUAACCUCUCAGUUAAUCACUUUCAGUCGACUUCUGCUUUCCACAUCUGCGAAGAUCAUCAGAGUGGAGUUGAUAUGCGGAUAUCCUCCCUCACUGUCCUCUUUGUCUUCGGCCUUGUCCGGCUCCUUCUCCUUGUCCUUAGACUGUUUUCCCUGAAACUGCUGGAUCAGGAGUCGACAUUGGCGAGUGGUGUGCUUUGGGUAAAUGAUAUUCCCCUCUUCAUCUUUCUUCGUGUGAAUAUGACACGGCAUAUCCAUCACGUCGUUCCCUUCUUUAUCCUUUACCUUCUUGGGGUUCCAGGAUCCUUUUGGUUUCCCCUUAAACUUUCCUUGAGUCACGGCCAGAGCCUCUCCAGGAGCUGCCGGUUCAGCCUUCCGCUUCUGUUUCCGACUGGUGUUUCCUUUUUCCGACUGACUCGGCUUGUGCUUGCCGCUUCGGAGUCGGUCUUCUUCUUCGCCGUUGGCAUACUUGGUAGCAAUCUCCAUCAUCCGACUCAAGGUCAUGUCACCGGUUCGACCAAAUUUCAAACUCAGUUCUCUGUUCUUGACGCCGUCUUUGAAGGCGCAUACUGCCUGAUGAUCAGAGACAUUUUCCACAGUGUGGUGCAAAGUGAUCCACCUCUGAAUAUACUCUCUGAGAGUCUCAUUAGUUUUCUGCACGUAGACUUGCAACUCUAUCAAUCCCGCUGGUCGCUUGCAAGUCCCUUCAAACGUUCUGACGAACACUCGGGACAGAUCUUCCCAAGUGUAAAUGCUGCUAGGAGGUAAUUGAGUCAACCAUGCCCUGGCAGAACCUUCCAACAUGAGGGGCAAAUGCUUCAUGGCCACCUCGUCGUUCCCACCACCGAUCUGAACUGCCACUCGGUAGUCUUCAAGCCAAGUUUUAGGCUUAGACUCACCAGUGAACUUGCUGACUCCUGUUGCCAACCUGAAAUUGGGGGGGAUAACUGCGGCUCUGAUAGCUCUGCUGAAACAUUCAGGACCAGAAACAUGUACUCGACUGCUCGUGGGUACAUCUCUGUCGAGUGCGCCUCGAUGGGCUCUGUUCCGGUCGACCAACCCUUGCACGAUAAUGGAUCGCGCGUCGAAGCCUGGCUCUCUGGGGUCAACUGGAACCCUACGCCCUGUACUGUACUGAUGCCUAUCAUCUGGCUGCCGAGGAGCGUAAGACCCACCCCUCGGAGGGGAAUAGGGCACUCGACGCCUAUCAUCUCGGUCGAGUCUGUCGCCAUAUUGAUCUCGCCGAUUCUCACGCCCUUCGCGCCGCGGAGGCGAUCUGGGGCUGUGAGCCGACUGAACCGUAUUCACAGUGACAGAUCGACUGUGAAUUCUGUUGCGCGACUGAGACACGGCUGAAUUCUGAUCUCCUGCUGCCCGGAGCAGAUCCCUGAUCUGCAGCAAACCUCUGCCAGCUUCCGACUGCGAAGGCUGAAUGGACUCUGCUAUACGGGUCGCAGCUGCUAAAUUCUGAAUUGGGGUUCGAUAUACCUGAGUCGGCGGGAAGAGUUGACGUCGACUGAUGUCGGGAACUCGUUGCCGCGCGCGCUCGUCGAGUGCUCGCUGAAGGUUCUCCAGUCGAGUGCGCUCGGCCAAAUUGGCCAGACGCGCCUCCUCCAAGGCACGAGCCUCGGGGGUUUCUCCUGCGAUGGGAAUACGCAGGGGAUCCUCGUUCCUGCGGCGAAGCUCUUCUCUUUGCAGAGAGUCGAGUGGCUCGGGCUGGUACUCUUCGUAGCCUCGUGCAGGGUCGCCGCCGUCGCCUGCUCCACCACCACGGGCGAAGCCAGGAGGACUGUGGGGCCCGUCGACCAUCAAGAUUUCCGCCGCUGGAUCACUGCUUCCGCACUCGGAUGCAGUCUCUCCGGAGCCAGUCGACUGAUCGAACAAGCCGUAGAGAGAUUCGUUGGGCUCGAUUGCCGCAACUUGUGUAGUGGCCGACUGGCGAGCCACCGCGUGACUCACCCAUCGCUGAAGCCUCGACCGGCCUGAGCGCUUGCGCUGGCGGGAGACCGGGAGGGUGGAAGAUGGAGGAGCCGACCGAUACUGGGUCAAUGGUUGCCGCAGCAGAACGCCGCGGACACAUGCGCGAAAAUGCGUCGCACCGCGGACGGGGAGCGCAUCUACGUCGAGUGGAGCCUCCUGGAGCCAUGCGGAGUCGUCGGCGAUGAAGGCGAGAGCGCCGAGACGGAUCUCUUGACCCUCGACCAAAAUUCCAGCAGACACCAUGAUGACAGUACUCGGAAGAAUCGCAACUUCUCCACAAAAUCGCUAAAACACCUGCCCCACGGUGGGCGCCAACUGUCGUGGUUCUAAGCCUGACAGUAGAGUGGGGGGUAGGUAUGGAGAGGCAAGGUCCUAGCUAUGGAGAGGUUGUAAGCACAAAGGAUGUACGAGUUCAGGCCCUUCUCGGAAGAAGUAACAGCCCUACGUCUCGGAGCCCGGAGGCGGUCGAGUGGAUUAUGAAUGUAUGGAUUACAAGGUGCCGAACCCCUCUGCCUGUGGAGGGGGGUGGCUUAUAUAGAGUGCGCCAGGACCCCAGCCAGCCCACGUAGGAGAGGGUUUAAGGUGAGUUAAGUCUGGGGCGUUACUGGUAACACCCCACAUAAAGUGCCUUUACUAUCAUAAAGUCUACUUAAUUACAGGCCGUUGCGGUGCAGAGUGCCUCUUGACCUCCUGGUGGUCGAGUGAGUCUUCGUGGUCGAGUCCUUCAGGCCAGUCGAGUGAAUCCUCGUUGGUCGACUGGAAGGCGACCUCUUCUAGGGAUGUCCUAGGGUAAGUUACUUGGAACAGGUCCAUGACCCUACCCUAGGUACAUAACCCCAUCAGUGUGUCCAACUCGCUGGCCAGCAACACGGCCCGAUGGAGUUCUGGAUCAUGGUGGGGGCCCGCCUUCGCGCUAGCCUAAAGGGGUAGGGCCCAAACCAGGGGCGUGCCGACAAGAUCCUCAGGGAGAGGGUGAUGGCCGAAAUUGCCCUCCUAGAUAUCCAAGCGGACUCUCGACCAUUCUCUGAGCAAGAAUGGGCGCAGCGCUACGCCUUGGAAGGACAAGUUGAAGCACUGCUGCGGGCAGAGGAGGAAUACUGGAGGCGUAGAGGAGGCCUUAAGUGGACGCUCAAAGGGGAUGCGAACACGCAGUAUUUCCAUGCAUAUGCGAAUGGCCGACGCAGAAAAUGCUCAAUCGUUAGGCUGCAGAUGGAGCAGGGGCUGCUGCUGCAGCAAGCGGAGAUCUCCCGCCACAUCUAUGACUUCUAUAUGAGUCUGAUGGGGACGGAAGAGGCACAACACGCGCGCUUGCGUGAGGAUGUGUGGCUUCCUUCUCAACGGGUGUUAGAUAGUGAGAACGAGGAGCUGGGGCUUGCGUUCCUCCCUAAGGAAAUCGACGACGCCCUGCUUAGCAUGAAAUCCGACACGACCCCUGGCCCGGACGGGUGGCCGGUGGCGAUGUUCAAGCAUUUUUGGCCACUUCUACUUGGUCCAAGUUUUGAUGUGUGCAACGACUUUAUGCGCGGCUUCGUGGACAUAGCUAGACUUAAUUAUGGAGUGCUCUCGCUAAUUCCGAAAGUGUUGGGCGCGGACAACAUUCGCCAGUACAGACCCAUUGCACUCAUUAAUGUUCCGUUCAAAAUAUGUGCUAAAGGUUGUGCCACCAGACUCUCGCCGAUCGCUCAUCGCACUAUUAGUCGCUCGCAGUCAGCGUUUAUUCGCGGUAGGAACAUUCUAGAGGGUCCGUUAGCCUUGCAAGAAACCCUACACGAGCUUAGACGCACUCACGAACCAGCGAUACUCUUGAAACUUGAUUUCGAGAAAGCUUAUGACCGCGUCAACUGGGAUUUUCUCCGGCAGGUCCUCUCCAGUAGGGGCUUCUCGCCGGUUUGGGUCCAUCGAGUCAUGCAAUUGGUCUCGGGGGGCCAAACUACGGUCUCGGUUAACGGAGAAGUAGGUAACUUCUUCAGGAACAAGCGUGGAUUGCGCCAAGGCGAUCCAAUGUCACCUCUUUUGUUAAACUUCGUCACCGACGCGCUGGCCGCCAGGUUGCGAAAGGCUGCGGAGGCUGGUCACAUAAAAGGGGUGCUGGGGCACCUCAUCCCAGGGGGGAUAUCCCACUUGCAAUACGCGGACGAUACGUUUUACUGUUCCAACCUGACCAGCAUAGCAUUGCAACGGUCAAAGCCCUGCUUAUUAGUUUCGAACUCAUGUCGGGUCUUAAAAUUAAUUUCCACAAAUGCGAAGUGAUGGCUAUGGGCAUGGACGCGCUGGAUAGUAGGCGCGUUGCGGACUUGCCGAACUGCAAUCUAGGCAAGCUCCCGUUUACUUAUUUGGGUCUUCCGUUAGACGCAAAGCGUAUCACAAUCGAUGGCUGGGCUCCGCUUUGGACAAAGGUGGGAGGGCGGGUGUGCCCGUGGAGGGGAAAGUUCCUUUCCUCCGCGGCUAGGCUGAUUCUCAUGAAUGCAGGCCUCUCCUUGCUGCCGCAAUUCGCUAUGGGGCUUUUGCUCUUGGCAGAAGGGGUUCAUGCCAAGAUGGACACACCCCGGUCCCGUUUCUUUUGGGAAGUAGCGGGCCCCAAGCGCAAAUACCACAUGGUUCGAUGGGAUGCGGUGUGCCGCCCGAAGGCAGAGGGAGGGCUUGGGAUCACAAACACCAGAAUCCUAAACAUCGCACUGAUGUGUAAGUGGAUUUGGAAGCUGUCGCAGGGGGCGACGGGCCUGUGGGUGGAUAUACUCCGUUCUAAGUAUUUCCCGUCUGGGAAUUUUUUCGAAGGAGUGGCGAGAGGUUCCCCCUUCUGGAAUGACCUCCAAGCGGUGCGGCCGGCCUUCGCCCUGGGAGACAAGUUCUCCAUCGGCAAUGGUCGGUCGGCCCGGUUUUGGUUGGAUCGCUGGGUGGGAUCCCAACCCCUUUGGUCGGAAUUCCAGGAUCUCUAUGUUCAGGCGGUCAACCCGGAGAUGAGCGUUGCUUCGGCGCUUGCCUCCUCUCCACCAGCGAUCUGCUUCCGGCGCGAGCUUUCGGGCACCGAACAAGAUCACCUUGCGGAGCUGCUUAGCCUCAUCGCGCCGGUUUCGCUUUCAUCGUCUGAUGACACCGUGCACUGGUCUCUGACCCCUUCCGGCAAGUUUUCGGUCAAGUCUUUGUACCGGAAGUUGUGCGAGUGCCAGGCCUGCUUAGUGCCGAAGGGUCUAUGGACUGCUCGCCUCCCGCUUAAAAUUAAGGUGUUCUUUUGGCAGCUGUUUCACAACAGACUGCCCACCUCGGCUAAUGUGGCUAAACGCAAAGGCCCGUUGUCCGGUCUAUGUGUGGUUUGUAAUGUCGUGGAGGAUGCGAACCACGUUUUCUUCCGCUGUCCGUUAGCUUGCUUCGCUUGGAGCGCGGUUCGCACUGCAGCUAACACUUCCUAGAACCCGCGUUCUGCCACUGAUCUAGCGGCCAUCGUCGCGGCCACUAAAGGUGGCAACAACCGCGUGCUGUGGAGUUGUCUCGGAGCCUUGGCUUGGUCUCUCUGGCUAACCAAGAACAAACUAGCGAUUGAAGGAAUCUUCCCAACGCACCCGACUAAUAUCAUCUAUAAAUGCAACCUUUUCCUGCAGCAGUGGAGUCCGUUGGCGAGGCGCAAGGAUGCUGAGAAGCUGAAGCAUGCCCAAGACCGUCUGCGUCAAGUCUACGUUUUGGCUAGGGAGCCUCUCGCCACAUCCGCGCCUGGAUAGUGGCCCUUUUGACGUGCUCGCGUGAGCCUGCGUGCUCUGAGCUCUGGCUUCGUGCCAUGUAAUCGUUUAGAUGCGAACUCCGUUUGGUCCGGUCCAAAAUUGCCGUGAACUAUGUGUUGGCGCCGGUCGUGAGCCUCUGCGCUCGUCCGUAUGUUUCGAGUCUAUGUCUGAUACGCUGCCUAGUUGUGGGCUUUAUUAAUUUAAAGCCGGACGCGCCCAGCGUCUUCGUUCUAAAAAAAAUCUAGAGGGGCGUGUCGCUCCUGUCUUUCUUCUUUGUAUUGCUUUGCUUUUCGUUGUGGUUGAUUACAAGGGGCUGCCACAUGUAUAUAUAGCAGGCUAGACUAGCUCGUUACAUGACCGACACGGCUAGGAAUCAUAAUCCUAGUUGGACUACUAAUCCCAAUUGGACACAAGGUGUGCUUAUGUCUAACAUUCACCCACUAAGCACAACUUUCUUGUUACCACCUGGAUCCCAAACGCGACUGUUGCUACUCAUAGGCAUUGCUUUUGCCGUUUCUUAUAGCACUUCAGGGAUCAUCAUUCUUGUCGUCGGCUCGUCCAUAGCUUGGUGCCAACGCUCCUUCUUGAUCGUGUCUUCAACCUUCACCCGUUCUUCGGUGUUUGGUAGACCGUCUUUCGGAUCGUCGAGGAAACAUCCUUUGGAUCCGAGCAAGACCAAACUUUGGUCUAACUUUGAGUCCCAAGCUCUUGGCGCUUGCUUCAGCCCGUAAAGUGCCUUCUUGAGCUUGUAAACUUUCCGUUCUUCUCCUUUCUUCUCGUAGCCGAGGGGUUGUUCCACGUACACUUUUUCUGUGAGGUCACCGUUGAGGAAAUCGGAUUUCACAUCCAUAUGAUGAACCUUCCAAUCCUCUUGUGCCGUCAAAGCUAGGAGCACUCUCACCGUCUCGAUUCGAGCAACCGGUGCAAACACCUCCUCAUAGUCAACUCCUUAACGUUGUACGUAGCCCUUUGUGACGAGUCUUGCCUUGUGCUUCACAAUGGCACCAUUCGUGUCCUUCUUCAACUUGUAAACCCAAUUCAAACCUAUGGCCUUUUGGUUCGGAGGUCGGGUUACCAAAGUCCACGUGCCAUUGCUCUCGAUCGCCUUAAUCUCCUCAUCCAUGGCUGCUACACAUAUAUAUAUAUAUAGCAGGCUAGACUAGCUCGUUACACGACCGACACGGCUAGGAAUCAUAUCCUACUUGGACUACUAAUCCCAAUCGGACACAAGGUGUGCUUAUGUCUAACAACGAGGAGGUCGAUGGGCGCGCCGGCCCACGCGGAUGGGGGCGCGGGGGAAGGUCGCUGGUGGCCGUGACCAACUGCGUGGCGGUGGUGCCAGAGAGUUUGGGGGCAUCCUCUUCCAGCCCCCGGCGAGUUCUAAGCAGAUGCAGGGCCUGGAUCGACGGCGACGGGCCGAUGGCGAACAGGGUCGAAGAGGAGGAGAAGGGACCGGCGACCUGGAGUUGGCGGGGACGGGGACGAGGCCUCUCCCUGUACAUCGAGGAGAUGGGUGUGUCUCCGAUGGGAAGGGGAUGCAGCGACGAGGUGGAUCUACAUAGAAGAUGUAUAGGUCUAAGAAGAUGAAUAUGACAUGUGGGCCCCACUGGUCCGUGUGAUUAGUGUGUGAAUCCGGCCGGGAUCAUCCUUUUCCCGGUGCGCCAAACAUUUAUUUAGCAAAAUCAGCCGGGACAGACCCGGAUUAUAGAAUAUAGGGUGCUAGUUUCAGGGAUUUAAAAGUCAAGGUUCAAUUCAGACUAUGAGUACGAGUUUAAGGUUUAUUUUAGACUUUUCCCUUAUAUAUUUGUUUUCCCUAUGUCCAUUUACUUCCCUUUAUGCCAUCUUCAUUCAUCCGUUCGUCCUUUCCUACCCCUUCGCUAAUUUAAUGCAUCAUUCUUUUGAUGAAAAAUUGAUACAUUUUCCCCAACUUUUAUGGUUCAAAUACUGCUUCCUCCUGUUCAUUCUAUAUUCAUUUUCCUUCUCUGCAAUAAUUUUCCUUUAUGUAAUGUCCACUCAAUACCUCCUCCCCUGCAAUUAUUUGCCUUUCCUGCUCUUAUGUGAAUGAUGCCGCUCCUUUCCUGCCAAUUUUUCUUUCCCCUAAACCUGCAAGUUUCUUAUGCGAUGCCAUGUCGCGAACCAAACAAAGGAGACCUGCCUGCAUCUGAUCUUCUAUAAUUCAGAAUAAGGAGGGUGGUAUAUAUGAUCACAUGAUCGAAAC
RNAcentral lists this long non-coding RNA (66447 nucleotides) under Triticum aestivum (bread wheat). Its description in RNAcentral is "long non-coding RNA (TAES_LNC027519)". The record is from RNAcentral. Lineage: Eukaryota; Viridiplantae; Streptophyta; Magnoliopsida; Poales; Poaceae.